RNAcentral lists this long non-coding RNA (64844 nucleotides) under Hordeum vulgare. Its description in RNAcentral is "long non-coding RNA (HVUL_LNC014753)". The stretch from base 6472 to 6544 matches the Rfam family "tRNA". The record is from RNAcentral. Lineage: Eukaryota; Viridiplantae; Streptophyta; Magnoliopsida; Poales; Poaceae.
CACUGCCUUGGCCGUCGGCUGUGGCGGCGUGGUUUACUACCCUAAUGGCGCUGGACAGCCCUACGCUUAGCAGGACGAGGAGGGCAACUGAUAGGAUCAGCUUGGUGGUAGCCAUGGCGAGGCGAUGCUAGAUUGCUGCAGCAGAAGAAGCAAGCUAGCUUGAUGAAGUGAGUGAUGAUCGAUCGGGAGCCCGUUACGUGGUAAUUUAUAGCCCCGGGUUAUGGUUUUAAAUUAGCAUGCAUGUUGAGCGUGCGUGAUUAUUAUUACCCACUGAAGAUUAUGGAAGAUUUUGCUGAGUUGGGCCUAUUAAUUACUGGGCUGAUACGUAUCUUUUGCAUCUAAGUGCGAUUGGUGUGACGCUAUCUUUCAGGUGAUCAGCCUUGUCAGGAGGGAAUUGAAGUCGCUGUAAUAUAAGCACUGUCAUCGGCCUCUUGAUCGAUCACCUGUAGUACGUUCCUCACUUCCACUCAAGUCGCAAAACAAGUGAACGUUAAUUCGAUCAUCAACAAAGGAGUACUCAACAAAGGAGAUGCGCAACCGAAACCGCAAAACAUAGCCCCCAUCCAGCUGCCGACAAGAGUAAGAACUAACAUAAAAUCGAAAUAAGUAAGGAGUAGUUAAGAAACACACCCCUAUCCCUCGCAAAACACACACACCCACACCACUAUCUCAUACUAUAUGAUGUAACGGUUCUUUAUAUUACUCCCUCCGUAUCACAAUAUAUGACGUUUUAGGAGUUCGUUUGAGCUGCUAGAACAUCAUAUAUUAUGAGACAGAGGUAGUACUACCUAUCAAUGAAAAGAUACACAAUUCUUUGGUUAUUGACGAAACUUAGCGACUUUUCUAGGCCAUAACCCAACCACCAGGAGGCCCAAUAUCCAACUUGUUUGGUACCCACAUGUACACGGUACAUCACAUAUUUGCGCAAGCAAGUCCAGUUCCCACCAACCAUGAGCUCUGAGGCCUGGUCUAGUUUGUACCGCAAAGUUAUUACAUAUGUCUACAUUACAAAAAGGUGAUCAGAUCUGGCUAUAGUAAGAAAGAAUAGGUAUCAUCUCAUUUUUGUGAAAUGUCGGAGUACAUGGAAUGCCGAGCUAACUAAACAUAUUUUUCAUCCAUUCAGUGUUCAAGAAAUAUGCAAUACAUGGUUCAAUGUGUCUAUGGAUGCUACUGUUGCGGGUGACCAAACUAGAGAUAUAUAUACUCGUUUACGAUGAAGGGGUACUUUGAUGCACAAAAAAAAACAAGAGUGGAAUUGAGCGCACUGAUAGAUCUCUUCGUUCAUGGUGGUCGACGAUAAACAGAGAUUGUCUAAAGUGGUCGGCGACAGUGACAUCGGUUGACAAGAUAAACCCAAGUGGAACAAAUGAUAGAGAUAGGGUAAGUGCAAUUUCUUUAUAUUCCAUGUUCAUGCUUCAUCUUUUGUGUUUGAAGAGGUAAAUUAUUCUUCAGUUCAACCUUUGUUGGGAUGCAUGGGAGUUAUCAUGGGAAGCAUGGGAUCUACCAUGGGAGGCUUCAAAGGCAUGGGAGGGGGGCUUCGGAGUCAUGAGAGCUACCAUGGUAGGCUUCAGAGCUAUCAUGGGUGGCUUGGGAGCUACCAUAGGAGGCGUGGAAGCUAUCAUGGAUUGCAUGGGAGGCAUGAGAGCUAUCAUGGGCGGCAUCAGAGGCAUGGGAGCACGUACGAGAGGCAUAAGUUUUGCAUCUCUCAUGGAAGGCAUGGGAGCACCUCGCAUGAUGUCUCACAUGCCCUCGCAUGAUGCCUCACAUGCCUUUGAGGAUAAUGCGAACAACGUACGAGGUUUAAAUGACACUGAGGUGUCUGAAGAUGAUGAAGAGGAGGAGCACGAGAAGGAAGAAGAGGAGAAAGAAGAUGGAGCAUGAUUCUUGAUGUUUCAUUCGUUUGUGUGAACUUAUUUGUCAUGAAUUGUUUGUGGUUAGAUAAAUUUGAACUAUGCUAUCUUGUUCAACUCAUCAUUAAUUUUGCAAAUUUAAAUGUUCAAGACCAUGUUAUUUAAAUUGUCAAAAAAUGAUAUGUGAUAUUUCAUAUGUGCCAAGCCGCGGCUGGGCGCGUGUGCUGUAUUUUAGCACGUCUGGUGAAGCGCUACUGCGACGUCCUAAGUUUUGCAGCACCUGCUAAGCUAUCACAUGUUCGCACGUGCUAAAACGCUAUUUCAGCGUCUAAAUUUUCUUUUAGCACGCCGCGCUGGAAAUGCUAUUAGUCUCUUUUUUCCAGAGAGGAAGGUAGUCUCUGCUAAUGUUCAAUUUGAUAAAACUAUGGGGUUUCCCAACUGAUAAACCUGUAAAUUUAUUUUGUUUUUGUUUUUCACCAGUGGAAGCAUAUUUGAGUUUUGCCUUCGUACAUCCCCUUUAAACAUUACACGAAUUUGAAAGUUACUUAAAGAGAUUAUCACCAUAUUAGCCUGCAAAUUCAAUGUAUUGAAUAUAAAUUUUGAUACAAAAGACUAUAUUAUCCUUUUUGAUUGAAAAAUGAUAACUUCUAAUCCCCACCUCUCGUAUUCGAGAGAGGGAAAAAGAUCCUUACGCCUAAUUGGGGUGUACCAAAGCAAACACUAGUAGAAAAAAGGGCUUUCGUCCCGGCUCGAUUUACACAUUAGUCCUGGUUCCAUUAUGAACCAGGACUAAUGUUAGCAUUAGUCCCGGUUCGAGUAGCAAGGACGCCGGUCAGGCAUUAGUCCCGGUUCAAAUGGGACCUUUACUCCUGGUUCGUGUCUUGACCGGGACUAAAGGGUUUGGAGGCUUUAGUCCCGGUUCGUGUCUUGAACUGGGACUAAAGGGUAGAUCUUUCGUCCCGGUUCGAGACACGAACCGGGACUAAAGUUUUUUUUCUAUUUUUAAAUUUUUUUUUUUUGUAGUUUCUGUUUUGAAUUGGUUAUAUCUUUUAGGAUAUUUAAUGUUUUUGAGUGAUUCUUUUUGCAUUAGAUUCAAAAUUUUGUCUAGUUUCUAUUUGUGUCAUUAGUUUUCGAAUUUGAAUUUGUUCAAAUUUGCUUCAAACCCAAAUUGUGAAUAACUUGAAUUUACAAAUCGUUUUUUAAUUUAAUUAUUUUUGCUCCUAGUCAUCUGUUAUAUUGUUGUCACAGUAAGAUUUAUUUGGUUAUUUUUCGAAUACUUUAAAUUAGGAUUUUAAUUAAAACAAUACUGUUUUGCUUAUAUAGUUGUUUUAGUCAUUUAAUUGAUGUUUUUUAUUAUUUUUAGUUAGUUCUUUCUGUAGAUUUUAACAUGUUAUAGUAUGGUGCAUAUUGAAUGCAUAAAAAGUAUGUAGUUAAAAUAAUUUUAAUAAAAUGCCUUUGUAGCUGAUGGGUUUUCGUUCGAAAACUUUAUACUUCGAAGGAGAUGAUCCAGUUUGUACACGAUGUGCGUCCAGUUUUUGUCGUAACUCUCUCAACUUUUUAGCACAUGUCAUGUGGGUGAAAUGAUGAUACCAUGCAAACUUUCAACCUUUUGAGAGUUCAUUUGUAGUGCUUUUCAAUUUCAGGGUCAAUUAGCUCACAAAAAAUAAGUAAAUGCAUAAAAAAAAUACCAAAUGAAGUCAGAAAAUGUUGAAAAUUUAUGAUGUGGCUUUAAAUGGUGUAUUUUGAACACACAAAAAGUAUGGAGUUCAAAUAAGUUCAAAAAAAUGAAAUCCCUCUGCAAGAGAUGAGUUUUCGUUCGAAACCCUGAUACUUCGAAAGAGAUUGUCCAUUUUGUACACGAAGUGCAUUCAGUUUUUGUCAUAACCCUCUCAACUUUUUAGCACAUGCUAUGUGGGUGAAAUGAUGAUAUCAUGCCAAGUUUCAACCUUUUCAGAGUUCAUUAUUAAAUGCAUGAAAAUAGCAAAUGAAGUUAUAAAUGAUGAUGAUAUUAAAUGCAUGAAAAUAGCAAAUGAAGUUAUAAAUGGUUAAAAUUUUAGGAUGUUGUUUUGAAUGGUGCAUAUUUAAUGCACAAAAUGCAAAAAACAUAUGGAGUUGAAAUAAGUAAAAAAAAAUGCCUUUGUAGCAGAUGGGUUUUCGUGCGAAACCUUGAUACUUUGAAGGAGAUGGUCCAGUUUGUACACGAAGUGCAUCCAGUUUUUGACGUAACCCUCUCAACUUUUUAGCACAAGCUAUGUGGAUGAAAUGAUGAUACCAUGCCAAGUUUCAGCAUUUUCAGAGUUCAUUAUACUGCUUUUCAAUUUCAGGGUCAUUUAACUCAGCAUAGCAAAUAAAGUUAUAAAGGGUUAACUUUGGCUUGGUUAACCUUAGUUGUGACUCUGGUGGGGACGGUGCUAGCAGAUGUAGUCCACGAGUAUGAUUGGACCCUUGGCUAAAAGGGGAUUCUGAAAUUUUCAAACUCUACCCCCCCCCAUGGACCGUCUUUUUUAGUUUUGUAGAAAAUAAACAAAAAUAAUAAAAUCUUCAAAAAAUAAAAUCCUUUGAGAUGUAGUUAGCUUUUAGUGUCUAGUUGGUAUAGAAAUUUUGAGAUAUGAAUUUUGACCUUUUUGCAAAAAAGGAAAAAAUAUAUAAAACGGUCAUAACGUUUGCAUACGACGUGAAAAAAAAGGUUUAAUAUAUCAAAAAAAAAACUAGAGAAAAAUUGGGACUCGAUUUCUUUUUUUUUUGCCUGGUGAAGUUUUCUCAGAUGCUCAAAAUUCCAAAUGUAAAAAGGUUAUUUCAAAAAGAAGUUUUUCCAGAAAAAUAAGAAAAAAUAAUUUUAUUUAAAAAUAUUAUGUUGUUUUCAUUGAAAUUCAUUAUUAUUAUUACCUACAUAGUUUAUUUUAAUAAUUGUUUGAAUUUAAAAAAUUAAAUCAUGUGACAUGACAUCAAGACACGAGGUUGUUUAGGAUUGAUAGCUUACUAUUGUCAGGAAAACAACAAGUGCAGACUUGGCAACUAGGGGUGAUAGAACCAGAAAGUUAAGACGAUUUGGAAUGAGUGAUCCACGCUAGAGCAGUGAGGAUGGGUGAUUAGAGAUUAAAUUGUGAAAUAAUUCAAAGAUUUAAAAACUGAAAUAAAACAUAAAAUUAAUCAAAAAAAAUUAAAAAAAAAUUAAAAAACCUGUCUUUUCGGGUCAAACAAGCAAAAUAAACAGACGGAUUCUUUAGUCCCGGUUCGUAACUAGAACCGGGACUAAAGGUCCUCCCUCCCCCUCGCUCCCAGUCCCGCCACGUGGAGGGCCAUUAGUACCGGAUGAUUAGUCCCGGUUCCUGAACCCGGACUAAUAGCCCAAACGAACCGGGGCUAAAGGUACUUUUUCUACUAGUGAAAGUUAAACAUGCAUUUGUGCAACACAAACGGUAUUGAUAAUGGAUGGAAGCACCAAUUAUAUUUUUGUCGUGUAUAGAACCAUACUGCUCAUGUUCGCAAUUCACAUGAUGGAAAUGGUUGUUGGGACCGGUAAAGACAACAUCCCUUUGUAAUAUAUUCACAUGAUGAAUUGUGUUGAAGGGACUAGUUCCACGCCUUAUCAAGCUAGCUUCCUCGUGCUUCGUGGAAAUCAUAGACGAGUUACACGCCUGAUCAAGCUAGCUCCUCGCCGGUGCUAUGGCACACAUGGGGUGGUGGGACAUUCGACGACACUGGAACAUCAUAGGCAUGUACGGGAAACAAAGAAGCAUUCGGUCUAGCAGAAGAAAACGUCUGUAAAAUAGAUAUUGCUAAAGUGUAUUUCUGGAUUGCCUGGUCCCUUUCAUGAGUUAUGUUGCUGCUCCCCCUACUGCCACUGUUGGUGCUUGCGUUAUGAUGUUGUUUUGCCUACUCCCGCUGGUGGUGUUGUUGUUCCUAAUUGGGCCUGGUCACUACCGAAUAUACAUUGACGAAAAAGGAUUUUUCUUCGUUUUGUAUUAUUAUUAAGCAACCGCAUCAAGCAUCCAACAGUAUCAGAAGUUUAGUCGAAAGAAAGGUAAUAGUCAUGACAACAAGAAAGCAAAACAAGUCUAGCUAGGAGCACAACACAGCAAACCCCUAUGAAAGAGCUGCAUGGCUAAUCCGUCUCAGGAGGUGGUGGCGGAGACGCUGGCGGGAUGGAGAUCGUCCGGGAGCGGAGGCCGGAGGUGACGACGUCGAUGAAACCCUACUGCCAUCACUUGCUACGUGGCCGCCAUAGCUGCAAGAAGCGUUGUGGAAUCACAUGCUCGAUUACUAAUUUAUUUCACACAUUCCACAGCGUCCAGUACGGCACCUAUAGCCACCCAUAUGGAUGGGCGGGUCUCACAUGGGGAGUUAAGGACCUCGCUAAAUAAGUCCGGAAGGUUAUCAUGGAACUAGUUACCGCCCACUACAUCCUGGGGGCAUCUCAAAGGAAGACCAUAGUCGGACACCGAAAGAAGAUGUGGUUGGUGUCCUCGGACACCCCGCGAAGUUGAUACGUUUUCGCACACAACAGGACGCAGUGGCAACUAUCUAGAGAAGAACAAUGCAAGAAAACCGAAGUCUCAUGGUCAGGUAUGUUAACAUCAUACACAUGAUUAAUAAACUAUCUACUGAAUUCAUUCACCAUGGGGAUGUAGCUCAGAUGGUAGAGCGCUCGCUUAGCAUGCGAGAGGUAUGGGGAUCGAUACCCCACUUCUCCAAUCUCAUUUUUUUUAUUUUCUGCAUAUCCCAAUAUUAUAUACUGUUGAAAAAAAAGACUAUCUUAACUUCACUUACGUAUUCCAAAUCUCCCCAUAAAUGCGCAAAUUCCUUCUACAUGUAAAAGAAUCUCAUUUUUUUUUAUUUUCUGCAUAUCCCAAUAUUAUAUACUGUUGAAAAAAAGACUAUCUUAACUUCACUUACGUAUUCCAAAUCUCCCCAUANNNNNNNNNNUGCAGCACUGUCUUAACUUCACUUACGUAUUCCAAAUCUCCCCAUAAAUGCGCAAAUUCCUUCUACAUGUAAAAGGGAAAUCAGAAAGCUUGCGCACAAUCUGUGCUGCAAACUGAGGCGCAAUAGUAAUCACAUGGCAAGAGUAAAAUGUCACCAUCAUGAUUUUAUUAAGGUAAAUUUUUACAUCCGGCACACCGGCCAAACUUUGAGUCGGAUGCGUGCGGGGUGUUCGACCGCUCUAUCGUGCGGGCAUCCAGCGACGGAGGCACCCCUCAUGGAUAUAAAACUAGGCGAUGGGACCACUCUGCCUCCAAUUGUUUUUCCUUCAUCUUCUUCUUCCUCAUGAAACGGACCCCAAGGGCACUUGCACCACCAGGCCCCGGCCACACCAUCAGCACGCAAGUCUCCGGCCACAAGGUUUCAAAAUGUCUAUCGUCGAGGUCGCAGCUUUCCGUCACCGUACCGCUCGUAGCACGCGGUCACCACAGUGGUAGCAAAAAGCGCACCGCUUAUAGCAAAUCGUUGUCGCCGCGGUCACCCACGUCACCGCUCGUCGUACGUCGGUUGCACCACCGCACACUGGUUACAACAAACUCAGUCGCUGGUGGUAGCUUUUCUCAUUGUCGUUUGCAACAAAUUCGUAACCAGUCAUUGCCGGCCACACUUCAUCAUCUCCCUGGUUGUAGCAAAAAUGGCCACUGGUUGUAGCUUUCUACGAUGCCCGUUGCAAUAAAAUCAUUGAUAAAAAGCUUCAACCAGUGUAUGAAAAGCUUCAACCAUUAAAAAAACUUUAACUUUUUUGCGGGGAAAAAGCUUCAAUUGCCAUGGAAAAAAGCUUCAGCCCAUGAAAAUAGUUUCAACCAUCGUGAAAAAAGCUUCAAGCGAUAUAAAAAAGCUUCAACGGAUAUGGCAUGCCGACGAUGUUGCGAGCAACGAGACCGGGGAGCUAUGGGCCGACGGCAUGACAGUGCUGCAUCACCACCGAGCAACAACCUGUCGCCACGUGGAGCGGCAAUGAGAAGGUGCAACUGUGGCAUGGGUGGAGCCGGGGACGAGGGCGACAACAGGCGACGAGGACGGCCGGCCAUGACACCGACCGGCGACGAGGACAUCACGGUGGUGCUUCAAGCUCAGUCGCUUUCUUGCAGGGGUAUGGCGGGGUGUCCGCGGCAUUCAUGCCGUUGUAAUUCUUCCUGCGGAAGACGACUCGCAAGAAGGACGAAGCGGGGGGACAAACCUAACGAACAAAAAUCGCUGCAUCGGAGGGUUGGGACUCGACCUCCUAAUUGUUAAGCCGGCGCACCGGCGGCUAGUGUUGCCCUUUUAUUAACCAUCUGUACUGUAGAAAAAAGAAAAAGUAAAAUGAUAUCCGAAGUCACGGUUAGAACAUUCCAGAAAAGAAGAGAAAAAAACUCAUCUACAGCCAACCAAAUUUGUCCGGUCAAUCAAGUCUCACCAAUUAAUGCAAAAAAGAUAGAAUAAAAUUUUUUCGUACACCUAACCAUAAACCUCCAUGGCAUCUACCUUCCUUCCAAUAGUGUGUGUGCGCGUGCACGCGUGUGAUAGAAAAUGCAAAAUAGUUAUCCGACUCGAUCAAGCUUGACUUACCAAAAAAUUUAAAAUAAUUUAAAAUAUAAAAUAAUAUCAUGAUUUUUGUACAUCAGACAUAUAUAUGUGUGAAUUAUAUAAAUAUUUGUAAUGCAUAUUUUUAUUUUUGGCUACACAGAAAACAAAUAUGUGGACGAUUGCACCUACAAUUUGCUAUUGUGGAUCCGCCUUUUGUAGCGUAAAAGGCUCGCGUGGCGGUGUGUCCUUUAUCCUAUAAUUGAUACAUCGGAAUCUCUGGUAUAUGGCAUCGUACGUUGCAUCAAUUUUAUCUUCUUUAUUUUUUGCAACUUUGGUGCAAUUUGUUCAGUCGAUGCAUCUCUCGUAAGUGUAGGCUUCUUCUGAUUAUGGCUUCGCCUGCUGCUGACUUCAACCACCACCUCCUUUCUUGUUUCAUCAACACAUGCUUCUAUGAAAAAAGAAAAAGAAAAGCAGAAAGAACUAGUGAGUAAUAAUUUUGAAUCAUGGAUGUGCUAAGUUUCAAAAAGAGAGGAGGAUAUGUUGCGUAACAAAAAGUUGUGGGAAUGACUUAUACAAAUCUGCGGGGUCUGUUGAUAUUGGGGGACAUGUUGUGAGAGGAGUCACAUCAUAAACAGGACUAGCUGAAGUGGCAGGAGAAUGAUCAAACAAAGGGCUUCUCGCUUGAAUCAACAAGAAAGAGUCCAAAUCCAAACCAGAUGAUCGUAUAGGUGAAACUUGUGGUGGCUCCUGAAACAGUAAAGCAUUGUCAUUCACGGGUUCAAACUAGCCAAAUGAAGAGCCAUCUUCAAGUGUCCCUUUUUUUUUGCGAGACCAUCUUCAAGUGUCCCUGGCCUCCUAAUAAAAUUCAUGCAUGCCGGAUUGGGCUACGAGCACUAGUAGAAAACAGGGCUUUGAUUCUCACCAGAUCAAAGCAUUAGUCCUGGUUCAAGUGGCUAGGACGCCGGCCGGACCUCGGCACGCAUUAGUCCCGGUUCGAUUGGGACCUUUAGUUCCGGUUCCAGACACCAACUGGGACUAAAAGGCCUCGCUCCUGGCGCAAUUCCUUUAGUCCCAGUUGGUGUCUCCAAAUGGGACUAAAGGUCUGUCUUCAGUCUCGGUUUUAGACACAAACUGAGACUAAAAAGAUGCCUAUAUAUAUAUCCUCACCCCUGCUCUCCUUUCAUCUAUUUUUUUGGCCGUAGAAGGUGGGAGGUGUGUGUGCUGCUCUGUUCUGCCUUCCUACGCACAUGAGGUAUUCGAUGAAAUGCCCGAGUCAUAUUUAAGCUUUCUCCUCUGUUCUUCCUUCAAGCUCCAUUUUCCUCAAGAUUUUUCUAGAUUUUGCGGUGCACCAACUAUCCAAGUGUUCUAAAAGGUUAGCUCUUUUCAUAUGUUGUUUGUGACACUUACACCUGAGUAUUUAUUCCGCUGCGAGCUGUUCGUGACUUAGCAAUUUCCUCACAGGGAAAUUCCUCAGUGACGAAUUCAUAAAAAUCGUCUAUUCACCCCCCCCCCCCCNNNNNNNNNNNNNNNNNNNNNNNNNNNNNNNNNNNNNNNNNNNNNNNNNNNNNNNNNNNNNNNNNNNNNNNNNNNNNNNNNNNNNNNNNNNNNNNNNNNNNNNNNNNNNNNNNNNNNNNNUCUUCCACCAAGUAAUCCAACAAGCAUCAAUUAUAAGAUGUAAUCAACACAACUACUAACCCAAAGGUACCAAUCUGAGGUUUUGAGACAAAGAUUGAAUACAAGAGAUGUACUAGGGUUGCAUAUGAGAUGGUUCUAGUGAAUAUGAUGAUGAAGAUUAGUCCUCCCACUAAGAAGUAAGUGUUGGUGAUGAGGAUGGCUUCGAUUUCCCCCUCCUGGGGGGGAAUUCCCCCGGUGGAAUCUCCCUGUCGGAGAGCAAAAGGGCCUCCGCCUCGAGAUGGCAGCGCUUCGUCCUAAAAGGUUUCUUAUGAUUUUUUUUCUAGGUCAAAACACACCAUAUAGGAGAAGAGGAGUGACGGAGGACCUGCAGGGGCCCCACGAGCCAUCAGGACGCGCAUAGGGGGGUGGGCGCGCCCUGUUGGCUUGUGGCCAGCAGGUGGCCCCCUCUUGUUUAUUUUUUGCCCAAUAAUUAUUAAAUAUUCUACAAAAAUUCUCCAUGAAGUUUCAUAUCAUUUGGAGUCUGGUGAUUUUUCUCCCUUUUUCUCGGUUUCCCGGUAUACUUGUUUCGAGAUAUUUCCUGCUUUGUUAUGUUCCUUGCGUAUUUGAGCAUAAGAAUUGUAUGAUAAUGGGGAAUAAUUGACAAGAAUAACAUAAAUAUCCAUAAGGGGUCAUGAUGCGAAAUGGACGUAUCGGGCACAACGGCGCCGAGGCGCGCAGGUGCUCUGGCAGCGCGGGCAUGUGUAUUUACUGCGCGGGUGCCUGGGCCAUGGGGUGAGUGGUGAUGUGCGUGUUGGAGUUCUCGUCGCCGCGAGGCUGGGCUCAGGAGUGGGACGCAAGUCACGGGCGGAUCUCGUCGAUGGUUCGAUGGACGGGAGGCGGUGUGUGCUCUACUGGAUGGUAACUUGUUGUUGCGGAUGCUGCUGUGACGUGCAUAGAGGCCUUUGCCCUGGGUGGACCUCGCCCAGAACUAGAUCUUCUAGGCAGGUGGUGACGGCUGCCCCUCCGGGGGCAACCGGCCUUGUGAGGAUGGCCACUAGGGAUCUUAUCCCUGUGGGUGGCCUCCCUUGCACCGCGUCACGUCUUGCUCUCCCUAUCCUUGGUCGGUGAAAGGCUUUGUGGAUGGAUGGUUGUGGCCUGGUUCUUUGUUGGUAACGUGGUGGUUCGGCAAUGGUCGUAGGCGGUGGCUCAGGUCGCUGAUGCGAUCGUGGUUGUUGUGGCGGUGGCGGUUUGUGGUUGGUGGCAGGGUGCGGGUGGUGGAAGUGCCACACCUUCUCGUAGGUGAGAACUGAUGAUGUGUGGGUUACUUGUGCGUCGGGGAUGUUGACGACUUGGGGAUCGUGCUAGGGCAUGCCAGCUUUAAGCCUGAGAUGGGUUGGAUAUUUUGCUCCGGGUAGGUGGGGUAGGCGCAGUCUGGAUGGUGCUCGAGGGUUGUGCUCGUGUUAGCUUGUGUUAGUGCACUGAUCAACAUUGGUCACUAUGGACAUGGCGCCAUGUGAGUGCGCCUGGCCAAGGGCUCGGGGUUGGCUCGCCUGUGGCCGUCAGUAGUCUCGGAGUCGUGUCUCCCCUCCCCCAGUCCAUCGAGUAUUGGCUGAGGAUGCAAGUGUGGGUACCUCCUACAGUGGGGGCACCUAGCCAGACCCAGGGACUAAUGCCGGGCUAGGAGUAGAUGAGUGGCAUCGCUCUUUCCUGCUGCGGUUGAGUGUGUUGUGAUGUGGGCGACGCACAAUAUCUCACGACAGGGACGUCGGGGCGGCGGCUACGAAUGGUGGCCUGCAUGAUUGCUCUUCGGCGGGCAUCAUUGCGGUGGUACUAGUUGCUCCCCUCCCGGGUUGUGUGGACAACGGGAGGUUUUGCGAUGGGUAUCCCGGCUGUGCUUUCUCUUUUGAUUGGGUGGCAUCCUUAUCCAGAUCCAGGGAUACGGAUCUGGGGAUCUGACAUCAUCGCACUCCUCUUGGCGGCCACGUGGUGGCACGUGUGAGUUUUCGAGUGAAAGCUCUAUGCCUUGCGUCGAUGAUGGCAACACCCGAGGGUGUCGCGCUCUUCUUAAAUACGUCUGUGUGGUUCUUCUCUCUGUGUCACGGCUUUGGGUGAAGACCUUUGUCCAGUGUGGACACGACAGCGACGAUGCUAUGCGCCGUUCUCCCUCUUGGGGGCAUUGUCAUGGUGCUUAGGUGUGCUAGGUCGUAGUGUGUGGGUGCUUAAUUCUUUCGGUAAUCGUUGCCGGUAGCAUAGUCGCGUGUGUUUUGUGUGUGCGUGAUAUCUUAGAAUCGACUUUGUAAGAGGGCUACCACACCAUCUUGUAUUGUUCUGCUGUGUACUUUUUUAGUUAUUGCUUUAUCUAUAAAGCAGGACGAAAGCCAGUUUUGAGAGUACAUAGAUUUCACUCAGAAGAUUUAGUUCGUACAUAAUCUUCGAUGAAUAGUAUCUCGCUGGCCAGAUCCCCGAAAAGGCUAGGGUUCCUCUCCCGUCUCCCAUACCCCCCCNNNNNNNNNNNNNNNNNNNNNNNNNNNNNNNNNNNNNNNNNNNNNNNNNNNNNNNNNNNNNNNNNNNNNNNNNNNNNNNNNNNNNNNNNNNNNNNNNNNNGUAGAUGGACAUCACCAUGAUAGGUCUUCGUGCGCGUAGGAAAAUUUUCGUUUCCCAUGCGACGUUCCCCAACACAGAAACCUAUAGCAAUAAAACGACACAAUCAUUAUGCUACGUUCAUAGUUUGGGUCUUGUCCAUCACAUGAUUCUACUAAUGAUGUGAUCCCGUUAUCAAGUGACAACACUUGUCUAUGGUUAGGAAACCUUGACCAUCUUUGAUCAACGAGCUAGUCAACUAGAGGCUUACUAGGGACAGUGUGUUGCCUAUGUAUCCACACAUGUAUUUGAGUUUCCAAUCAAUACAAUUCUAGCAUGGAUAAUAAACGAUUAUUAUGAACAAGGAAAUAUAAUAAUAACUAAUUUAUUAUUGCCUCUAGGGCAUAUUUCCAACACUUAUUUCCAAGCACUGCAAUAUCUUUUAUGCUUACUUUUGUUACUUGCUACCUUGCUGUUUUUACAUUUUUAGAUUACAAAAACCUAUAUCUACUAUCCAUACUACACUUGUAUCUCCAUCGCUUUUGUCGAACUAGUGCAUCUAUAAAACUUGCCAUUGUAUUGGGUGUGUAGGGGACACAAGAGAUUUCUUGUAUUUGAUUGCAGGUUUGGUUGAGAGAGACCAUCUUCAUCCUACACCUCUCCCACGGAUUGAUAAACCUUAGGUCAUCCAUUUGAGGAAAAAUUGCUACUAUCCUCCAAAACUCUGCGCUUGGAGGGUCAACAAAGUCUAUAAGAAUAAAGUUGCAUAUUAGACAUCAGCACACUUUGAAUUCUCGCGGGGCCCCUAUGGGUCUUCUGGUACUCCCUCGAAGCUUCUUGGGCCCCGUAGUCAUCAUUUUCGACAUCAUUAUCGUGUGAAUCUGUUGAGGCGAUGAAGUCACUUAAUAGGAAUUCGUCAAGGUCAGAGUUUUAAUUGCCACCAUUCCAUAAUGAAUACAUUGGUGACCUAGAAAUAAUGAACCAAAGAACCAAAAUCCAGCUCCGACAUUUCAUCAAACACGUAGAGCGCGAGAUGUAUAUAAGGGGGGUUGGACAUACCGGGAUGGCGUCUAAUGGUGGGGAACUAAGGUGGGUGACGAUGUGGAUUGCGGCCUCCAUUUGGGGACGCCAGAUGGAGCAACGACGGGAACGGAACUCCAGUGACGGUUGUGCACACGAGGGCUAACAAAAGAUAAGAGGACUGGUGUGGCAAGAACGGAGAGGGGUGCAGAUAUGGGCGGAUUGACGCAUCCCUAGCGGUCAGUCCAACGCGGUGGGCGCGUCCGGGUGUUCCAUGCCCACCCUAGAUAUGUGACGGAUAUGGGGAGUACGAGUCAAUCCGGCGGUUUGAACCGAAUAUUUGGGAGCCUAGUUGGUGACAGUUUUUUGUCUAAAUACUGACCAGACAACUUGUCCAGAUGUUUGCGACAAAUAUGGAUCCUGAUAUACAUGCUUAGGGGUAUGUACAAAGGAAGCAUCACCUUCCUAGUGCCUCACCUCUUCCAUGUAAGAAAAAAUGGAUGGGGCACCAUUUUGUUUCUCAAACGCUCUAUACAUGAAGCUCUCCCAUCGGAUUCAUGUAUGUCAUAUGCAUCCUCUUUUAUCUGCGCUUUACAUGAACGGGAGGGCUAGCUAGUCACAUCUCUCUCUUUUUUGCCCCAUCUCUCUUAUUUUUGUCAGGCAAGAGACUACUUCUUCUACAAGAUGCCACUUUAGUCUUAGCACUAGGUUGAGCUUAGCAAAACAGUUUGAUAUGACGUAUUAUGCAGGGACAGCCAUCCACUGUGGAGCGUUGACCAUUCCCUAAGGUUGUUCAUAGUGGGGAGUAACAUAUAGUAGUAUCAUGCAUAUAUUACUAUUGUAUGCUACUACCUUCAGGCUCGUUGUAAUGGACAGUAUCAUAUAGUAGUAUCAUGCAUAUGAUACUAGUGUAUGAUACCACAACCGUAAUGCAUAGUAUCAUGUGUUAGUAUCAUAGAGUGAUUCAUUUAUUGCCAUGCAAGACAAAUAGUAGCACAUCAUUUAAUAUGAUGCGGUAUCAUAUGAUAUGAUACUCAACCCUCCCUUUCUUUAUUUAAUUGUAUGACACCUCAUCAAAAUUGCCUAGUUGACAUGCAUGAUACUAACUAUGAUACUCUAAUUACAGACAACCUCAUAGUGCAUUGUACUACCUUCGUCCAAGUAUAUAAGACAUACGCGUAGUUCUAGGUUAUAAAUUUAUCUAGCUAAAUAUAUAUUAUAUGUGAUAAAAAUUACAUAUUCAAAAACUACAUUCCCACAUGAAUCUAAUGGUAUAUUAUUUAUUAUAUAUAAUAUAUAUUUAGCUAGUUAAAUUGACAACCUAGAACUAAGUGCAUGCCCUAUACACUUGGGACGGAGGUAAUAUCAUAAACUAGUAUCAUAGGUGAUCUCAUUUAUUCACAUGCAUGACAUAUACUAGUAGCAUAUCAUUUAACAUGUUACAAUAUCUACUUAUGUUACUCUAACCCCCCCUCUCUUCUUUAAAUGUCCGCCACAUCAACAUGUUUGCUAUUCCCAAGUACAUGAUACUCCCUCCUUUCCGGUUUAUAUGGCUCAUCUCAAAAAAUUUAGAUUUCCAUUAUACUAGACUCAUUUUGAGUCUAAGUGAGUUAAAGUGCUUUGAGUCUCACGCCAUAUUUAAUUCAUAGAGUUUAGAAAAAGGAGAUGAGUGGCUAUGCAUGCAUCGUUUUCUACAUCCACCAUGCAAGUCUAAUGAAAGAAAGGAUGCUAUAUUUAUUGCCUUGGAAAUUGAAUAUGUGAGAAAUAUUUCAUUGGCUAGUUUAAACUAGUGUCAUCCACUCACAAUUCACCUUGGUUGAUGAGAUUUCAGAUUUGAGCCCUAUAAACCGGAAAGGAGGGAGUACUACCUAAGUUACUUCCACUAUGGCCAGCCUAACAAUGUUGUUUUGUGGGAGAAAUUAAUCUACAUCCUGAAAGUCAAAACCAUUUUCUUUUAUUUCCUUCUAUUUCAAUGCUCAUCGCACGUGGAGGUGGGAGGAGGACGAGAGCAAUGGACACCACCAACAUGAUAAGAACACCCCCUGCACCGCUGCACAUGGUGCCCAAGAACACCAAGCGAGCGACCAUCGAGCGAUACCCCACCAUGUGCAUGCUACAUGAGCGCCCAACCAUCAACUGGAACGAGCACUACCGCCUCUGACAUGCCCUUCCAUACAUGAUUCAAGCUUAGCAGAACAGUGUGAUAUGACGUACUCCCUCCGUUCGAAAAUAAUUGUCCUAGAAAUGAAUAUAAUGGAUGUAUCUAUAACUAAAAUAAGUCUAGAUACAUUUAUCUCUAUGACAAGUAUUUCCGGACGGAGGUAGUACUAUGCAGGGACAGUCAUCCACGAUGGAGCGUUGACCAUGCCCUAACAAUGGUGUUUUGUGAGAGAAAUUAAUCUACACCGUGAAAGUCAAAACCAUUUUAUUUUAUUUCCUUCUAUUUCAAUGCUCAUCGCACGUGACGAACAAGUGAAUGAAUUCGUUGCAAGAAACAGAGGACCAGUGACAACUCGCUUGGAACCGGCAAAAUCCAAAUUUUGUGAGCUGCCUCCCGCUUCAGCGGACGAAAUUUGAGGGCCACGCCAGCGAUCCGCGCCGUCUCUCCCCGGAUCGUGAUCGCGACCAUCCAUUACGUCCAGAUCCAACGGCAGGCUGUGCCCUCCUCCCUUGUUAAAUCCCCCCCUUCGCCUCCGUCUCCCACCAACAGCCGCCGCCACCACACCGCAGCUCCUCCUCCGUUCCAUUCCCAAACUCCGUCAACCAUGUCCGGCCGCGGCAAGGGCGGGAAGGGCCUGGGCAAGGGCGGCGCGAAGCGCCACCGGAAGGUGCUGCGGGACAACAUCCAGGGCAUCACCAAGCCGGCCAUCCGUCGGCUGGCGCGGCGCGGCGGCGUGAAGCGCAUCUCGGGGCUCAUCUACGAGGAGACCCGCGGCGUGCUCAAGAUCUUCCUCGAGAACGUCAUCCGCGACGCCGUCACCUACACCGAGCACGCCCGCCGCAAGACCGUCACCGCCAUGGACGUCGUCUACGCGCUCAAGCGCCAGGGCCGCACCCUCUACGGAUUCGGCGGCUGAUCUGCUAGCUGCUGCUGCUCCGGCAAGUCCCUGCUAGCUGCCUGUGUUCCGGUGAUAUGUGGUUUUCUUCUGAGUUCGUGCGUCGUUGUUCCAUCGGUCUGUGUAGUUAUCGAAUAUGAAUGGAAUUGAAUCAAUGUUCCUGUGGUAUCAUCUUGGCUGCGUCUCUCGAUAUGUUCCUAUUUAGUCACUACCAAUUUGUGACAUCCUGAUUCUUCUCGGCAAUGAAGUUGGCGCACUGAUUGUGGGGAAGAAAACUGCUCCUGUAAUUUGAAUGUAAAUGGAAUGGAAUCAGCGUCGUAUUAGUUUGUGCUGAAACGUUCUCUGAAUCAAGUUUUCUUUCUUCCCGGAAGUCAUACAGACCUGUGUUCUGAAACUCUCGAGUUGGCACAAUUUUAGUUCACUUGGUUAUCAACUUGCCCAUUGGUCAAAAAAAAAAGAGUAACUAACUUGUACUCCCUCUGUAAACUAAUAUAAAAGCAUUUAGAUCACUAUUUUAGUUAUCUAAACACUUUUAUAUUAAUUUACAGAGGGAGUACUAAUGCUUUAGAAAAAAAAACACUGUCAUCUUGUGCUACUUUGUCAGCUGCUAUUUUGUUACCGGCCGGGACACGCUUGGUGUUCUCCUCUUCUCUGAUGAGGUGUGGCCAGGGCUUCCAUGAAUUUGUUAACAUUUGAGUAAGAAACAUGGCAUUUGAAUUACGAGGGGAAUAUGGACAUUUGACCCAGAUGGAUCACAACAUAGUGAUGGAGCAUAUACUGUUUCACUCCAGUAUUUACUAUUUUCUAGCAAAUCAAAUUCCAAGAUAAGUGUCUUCCUGUCACUGGUCAGAAAAACAUCUUGGAUCUUAAGUCGAGGAGACAAGCAGAUGCUGCUAUGUACUCCCUCCGUCCCAAAAUAAGUAACUCAAAAAACGACUCAACUUUGUAUUAAAGUUAGUGCAAAGUCGAGUCGCUUUUAAGUCACUUAUUUUGGGACGGAGGGAGUAUCUUUUUAAUAGAUUCACUUAUGAAGCAGUUUCGAUACAAUGAUGCUCAUAUGGGAUGACAAAUUGGCAAUGAGAUAGUUGAGGUGAUUAACUUUAUUCACACAAACUGAUUUCUUUCCGUACACCUAUGUAUGGUAAAAUGCCUUCAGAGCCAGGAUUGACAUUGUGGAAUUGCUUGCGCCGGUCAGUUUACUCGAAAGCUCAAACUUAUGGGAAAAGGUAGACUUGAACACUCCCCACAAACGCGGCUUUCCUAAUCCGGACCGGACGCUUGAACUUGCCGUUGUAUAUUUAGACGUUUUUAUCAUUAGCAGAAUAAAACAUAUCAUUUAUAGUGAGAUGUUUUGCUAACCCUUCGUUGUGUAUCUCCUAGUUUGUUUGGUCAUGAAUGGUAGAUGAUCCUUUAGCCCAGUCGAUGGGGGUGCCAAACUUCCAUGAGGGUCAUGUCUUCUUAACGCAAGACCCACAUCAGGGCUAUAUCUCACUCGCUGCGAGUAUAGUUAUGUCUUUCUUGCCUUAUGAGAUCAUGCAAAUGGCUCGACCCAUUAACAAAGGCAGAGAGCAUCAACCCUUACAUGAGCGGGCGGGUUUGGAGGACUCCGGAGUGCUCCCAGCCUAUUUUUGUUAAGCUUCCAGGCCGUUUUUUUCUUUCUCUUGACCAUUUUUUCUACUUGUUUUGAGCUUUUGUGUGUGUUUCUUUUAGCGGUUUUCUUGGUCUUUUCUUUUUUCUUUUUCUUGUUCGUUUUUUCUUUGGUUUUCUAUGUUGGGUUUCAACGAUUUUCCAUCAGGUUCCGCUUUUCAAUGUUUCUUUAAGCAGUCUUUUACUCUUUUAUUAUUUUUUGUCUGUUUCAUCACAUGUCUACUUUUUUAAUAAACAUUUUACAUUUUUCAUUUACAUAAGAAGCGUUUUUUAUACAUUUUUUAAAUAGAUGAUUACCAUUUUUCAAAUAUAUGAUCAAUUUUUACUUUUUUUCAUACCUAGUGUACAUGUUUUUAUAUAUAGAUAAUACUUUUAGUACAUGUUUAACUCUUUUAAAUAUAUGAUUACAUUUUUACAAAUGUAUGUUUUGAUUUCUAAAAUUUUCAUAUACAUUGUGCAUUUUUCAUAUACAUCCACACCAUUUUGUAUACAUGUUUAAUAUUUUUCAUAUAUAGUAUUAGCAUUUCCUCUCAAACACAUGUUUUUGAAUAGAUGUUAUAUAUUUUCCAGAUACACGUUAAAUCAUUUUUUCGAAUUAUAUGAUUUAUUAAACUAUUCAGUUUUUUUACGUUGUAUAAACACUUAUAGUGUCACACACAUAUGUUUUAAAACACGUGAAUGUCUUUUUUAGUGCAACCUAUAUUUUUCUAAUGGUAUGAUACUACUUUGAGUUGCGUGAACAUUAUUUAAAAUUGUGUAAAGUUUUUAAAGAUGUCAUGUACAAGUUUUGAAAUGCUUGAACUUUUUUUUAAAUUAGCGAAACAAUUGUUUUGAAUCAUCAUUCUAUUUUUUUUCUACAUAUGUUUUUAUGUAGGUUAUAUCAUUUAUUAAAAGAAACAGUUCUUUUUUCUUCAAAUACACGUUGGAAAAUUUGUUGUAGAGGUUGAAAUUUUUCGAGGUGAUUGUUGAACAUUUUUCAGUGCUGGCAGAUAUUUUUCAGAUGCAUAUUAAAAAUUUAAUAAAUACAUGGUGAAUAUUUUUGUAGCACAUAUUAAACAUUUGUAAGUGUUAGAACAUAUUUUUGAUUGGUCUGAUACAUUUCUUUUGAAAAUUAUCCAAGAACAUCUUCUCACGUGAGACCAACGACGGGUCAGAAAUAGCUGCCGCGUGAGACCAAGGAUAAAUGUUCAAUGUGUGUAAAUAAUAAUUCGAAACCAUUGUUAACACACAUUGACCUAUUUUUCCCGCAGACCAACUGUUGUCAAGUGUUAAAACAUGUUUAACACACAUUGAAGAUUUUAUCAAUACAUGAUGAAUAUUUCAAACAUAUAUUAAAAAAAUCAGAAACAAAAUUCAAUGUGUGUUAAAAUCUGUUCAAAAAUAUAUUCAAUAUGUGUUGUUGAGUAUUAGAACACGUUUAACACACAUUGAAGAUUUUAUCAAUAGAUGAUGAAUAUUUUUUAACACACAUUGAACAUUGGUCAUAGAGACGAGACCACGUUACAUCCCGGUAGGGUCCGAAAUAGCUCUCGCGUGGGACCAACGACCGACUUGCCUAAAGAUUCUUUUAUUUAUAGUGGGCUGACCCCUUGGUAUUUGGUUCGUUAGAUUCAUUUAUUUCCUUCUUACAACUAUGAGAGAUGGAAGGUGCUUCUGAAAGUUGAGAGACAGUUUCGUUUGUGUGUCUCUCUUUCUCUUUUCGCUCUCCAUUUUAAUUUUGUUAAUAUUUCGAAAUUAUUUAAAUAAUGUCAUAUAUUUUAUCACGCAUUACAAAUAUUAAUGUAGUGUAAAAAACCCCUCAUGCAAUUUGUAUAAAAUACUAAAGGGGGCACAUGAUGGAGGUUGGAGGAGGACGAGAGCAACGGACACCACCAACAUGAUAAGAACAACCCCUGUACCGCUGUACAUGGUGCCCAAGACCACCAAGCGUGCGACUCACCCUGGACAUUUGGGUACCCUAACCCGUUACGCGAACAUGAACUGAACCUAAUUAUCCGAAUUGUCAAGUAAUUCGCGUAACGAAUUAGGGUUCGAUUCUCAUUUCUUGGCUAUUUGGUUUCUGGGUUAGGAUUCGGGUUUGAGUCAAGAAAACCCGAAAUACCUAUACUAUCCGAAUUAUUCAUACUAUCCAAAUUAUUCAUCAUAUUAUUACACUGUCAUGUUACCCAUACUAGCUAAAAUACCCAUACUACCUGAAAUGCCCGUACUAUCCAAAUUAUUCUACCAAAAGUUGAUGUGUGCUCCGAAUAUUUCGGGUUUUUUGGGUACCCGGAUUACCUGAACCAAAAGUUUGAGUAAUUUGGGUUCUAGUAAGCAGAAAAAGUUUCUGUUUCCAUUUUGAAGUACCCGAAUUACCCAUAAACCAAACUACCCGAACCAAAAUAACCGAAAUACCCGAAUGCCCAGGGUGACGCGCGACCAGCGAGCGAUAAGCCACCAUGUGCAUGCUACAUGAGCGACCAACCAUCAACUAGAAUGAGCACUACCGCCUCUGACAUGCCCCUCCACACAUGAUUCAAGGACUACAACAAUCCAAAGUCGCCCGAUACAAUGGAGGCUGACUCGAUGGGAGAAUUGAUUUUGACGCCUCCAUCUCGCACGCCUUCGAUCUUAUGCCCCCCUCCUCAUUUGGCUUCCUCUCAACUCCCCGACGCGACUUAAUUUUUGCUCCAUUACCCCCCUACCAUGUUUACCUCUUGAUUUAUCUGGUCAGGAAGGAAUCUGGACUUAAUAUAUUUGCAAAUGCCAAAUCUGACCUUGUCCACUCUUCCUUCCAAAAGGUACGAGACAGAGGGGUUCCGUCCCUGUACCGACCUAGCAGCUAGAGCAGCUGCGCCGGCCGUCCGUCGCCCUCCUCCGCGGUGUCCCCCCAUGGAGGAUAAUGUACAUGGAUACUACUCAGUUAGCAGAUUCAGGGCAGUAUAUGAAGGUGUAAUUGAGCCCCUUACAAACAAGAAUCAGUGGCCACAUGUGCAUACAUGCUUCGUGUUGCGUCCACCAAUUCCAACAGGCAAGAAAAAAGAUGCUGGAAGAACAAGAAACAGAUGAUAAAGAGUUGGUGGGAAGGUGGAUCGAGGAAGGGAUCCUCGAACAAAUGCAAAAAUGCGGGGAGGUAGGACAUAGAGAAGCUGGAUGUCCUAAAAUUGGAACAAAGAAAAGGUACAAACUAGUACUUGUUGCUGUUUUCUAUUUAUAAUACCAUGGUUCUUUUACAUAAAAGUAGUUCUAAUUGCUUCUUUUUGUAGGAAAAGUACGGGAGGAAAGAAUCCAUGUCCAUGGUUUGAUGUUUCAGUUAGCAAUGUCGUUCCAUCUACACCAACCAAGAGCAAAAAUAAUGCCAAUUGUAGCAGUCCUGGAGCUGUCACAAGAAGCCAAGACGCAACUCAAGGUAGUCUCAAACCUGUCACAAGGAGGCAAUCUUCUACUCCACCACCAACAUCUCUAGGAAAAGGAAAGAAGAAGAAAAUUACUCAUACGAGGAAGAAAUUAAGUGACCUGUGAAUUUGUUGGUGGCUAUGAUGAACUCGUGUGUGAGUGGAGACUCACUUUUAUUGUUGUGUAUGUGAGGUGCAAAGUCACUUUUAUUUUCUCUGUAAGUGAGGUAGAGACUCACUUCUAUUUGCUAUGCCUGUAUGUGAGGUAGAGACUCACUUAUUUUGCUGUCAUCAAGUCUUGUAGAACAUAGUUGAACUUAUUCUCUAUGUUAUUGUUGAAUUAUUGUGAGAGCAUUAUUCCCAGUGCUAUCGUUCAAUUAUUGUGAGAUUAUUAUUCCCAGUCUGUUUGCGUAAAAGGUAUUGAUUACAACAAAAUGUUUUGUACCGGGUUGUGCCUUUCAAACUGAAGGGCAUUUUUGUCUAUUCCUGCUUCUGUUUGAUAGUUAUAUACUAACAUACGUGUUAACCAUGCCAAAGGAAGGUAUCAACAAGAGUUAGACAGAUCUGGGGGGGNNNNNNNNNNNNNNNNNNNNNNNNNNNNNNNNNNNNNNNNNNNNNNNNNNNNNNNNNNNNNNNNNNNNNNNNNNNNNNNNNNNNNNNNNNNNNNNNNNNNAGACCCGGGACUAAAGGUCCUCCUAUAUAAAACGAGCCUUCGAAGUUUCCAACCCCUCUUAUAUAGUUUGUUAGUUUAUUAGUUAAUCAAAUGUCCGUUUUUUGCAGAACUAUGGAUCCACAUAUCAGGAACCUCGAAGAGGAAGAACUUCUCGAAGAUAUAAUCAAAGACGGCCCCGACGUUGAACCAGCCGAAUCUCCGACGUCAUAUCUAAACGACUCCGGAUAUGGAAUGAAAGUCGAGCGACACGAAGAUGAAGCCGAUGGGGCAGGAGAUAGGUCCAAUGACGGAGAAGGUGAUAGCUCCACUGAUGGAGAAGCCGGUGGAGAAGCCGUGAAGAAAUAAUAAAGUCCGGCGAGGUAUACAUAUGAAGCUCGACAAUCACUUGUAAUAUGUGAAAAAUAUUGGAGAUAGCUCUAUAUUGUAUACAUAUACAUUCAUUUGACGAAUGUUUCUCCCUCUUAGGCCUCCACAUCGAGCAAAUCUAUGAAACGAGGCCCGACUAGAAAGUUGGAUGCACGAACGCAUUACACCUUUGAGGUGAUAAUGCCUAUGGGCGAACCCAAGCUUCCUAAGAAUGUUGCUGACACAUUCAAGAAGCAAUGCGGAGUUCUCGUUAGGGAUCACGUCCCGAUCAGCGUUCGGGAGUGGAACAAGCGCAAAGGGGCAGCCGAUAGUGACUAUGUCGCCGAAAGGUACAAAGAUAAUCUUUGGAAUGAUCUCAUGUCACAUUUCAACCUACCAGAAUGUGAGAAUGAAGACGCUGUAGACAAACUGAGGGCCAAAGUCAAGCAGUGGACUCUAAAGAAGAUGGCCGAACUGUUCCGUAGCUGGAAGAAGAAGCUAUGGAAAAACUAUCUGGAGACAAACAAAGUGCCAGUAUUCGAGGGGUAUCUAGCCAAGCAGGCGAAUCACUGGAAGGAAUUUUAAGAGUACAAGGAGUCAGAAGAUGCCCAGGCAUUAUCAGAAAAGAACAAGAUAAAUGCCGACAAGAAGAAAUAUCACCACAAGCUGGGGCCAGGGGGCUAUGAGACUGCCAUCCCAAAGUGGGAAAAGAAAGAGCAAGAUCUGAUAGAUAAAGGCAUCGUACCUGAACCACUCCGUGAUGAGUGGGAAUUGAGAGCAAGAAAUUGGUUCCUUGCGCAUGGUGGGUCGUACGACGAAACAACAGGGGACCUCAUCUGCAAUGACAAUCUUAGGAUACCCAGGGAGAAUUGGAAAAGGAUAGUGAAAGAAAUUAAGGAGGGACAAAGAAAGUUCACUGCAGAUAGAGAUAAAGAUUUGCUCACCCUGGUCCUCGGCAAUGACGAACAUGGAGGACGAACGCGAGGCUUCGGUCCAUCUUACCCGUGGUGGCUUGGGUUUGCCAGAGACCAAGACACUUACAGAAGUCGAGAGAGAGCAAAGAAGCGGCAGCAGGAUGAGGAGAAUGACAAGUUCAACCAGUUGCUUGCCAGGAUUAACGAGCAACAGAAGCAGAUUGAUGAGCUUAGAGGAGUACCGCGCCAGGAAGAUCCUGCACUUGAUAUUACCGGCGCCCCAUCUAAGCGGAAAAGCAGCGNNNNNNNNNNNNNNNNNNNNNNNNNNNNNNNNNNNNNNNNNNNNNNNNNNNNNNNNNNNNNNNNNNNNNNNNNNNNNNNNNNNNNNNNNNNNNNNNNNNNUGAUCUAUUUAUUCACACAUGUAUUACUGUUUCCUGUUAAUACAAUUAUAGCAUGAACAAUAGACGAUUAUCAUGAACAAGGAAAUAUGAUAAUAACCAUUUUAUUAUUGCCUCUAGGGCAUAUUUCCAACAGUCUCCCACUUGCACUAGAGUGAAUAAUCUAGUUACAUUGUGAUGUAUCGAACACCCAUAGCAUUAUGGUGUUGAUCAUGUUUUGCUCGUGGAAGAGGUUUAGUUAACGGGUCUGCAACAUUCAGAUCCAUGUGUACUUUACAAAUCUCUAUUACUCCACUCUGGACAUGGUCUUGGAUGGAGUUGUAGCGGCGUUUGAUGUGCUUCGUCUUCCGGUGAAACCUGGGCUCCUUGGCUAUGGCAAUGGCCCCAGUGUUAUCACAGAAGAGUGUCAUUGGACCCGACGAGCUUGAAACCACUCCAAGGUCGGUGAUGAGCUCCUUCAUCCAAAUUCCUUCAUGNNNNNNNNNNUGCUUCAGAAGUAGCUAUGUACUCCGCUUCACAUGUAGAUGCUACCACGACUUCUUGCUUGUUGCUGCACCAGCUCACUGCCCCACCAUUCAAAACAUAUACGUAUCCGGUCUGUGACUUAGAGUCAUCCAGAUCUGUGUCGAAGCUAGCAUCGACGUAAACCUUUACGACGAGCUCUUCUUCACCUCCAUAAACGAGAAACAUUUCCUUAGUCCUUUUUAGGUACUUAAGGAUAUUCUUGACCGCGGUCCAGUGUUCCCUACCGGGAUAACUUUGGUACCUCCCUACCAAACUUAUGGCAAGGUUUAUAUCAGGUCUGGUACACAGCAUGGCAUACAUAAGAGAGCCUACGGCUGAAGCGUAGGGGACAGAACUCAUCUUCUCUCUAUCUUCUGCCGUGGUCGGCGACUGAGUCUUACUCAAUCUCAUACCUUGCAAAACUGGCAAUAACCCUUUCUUUGAGUUUUCCAUAUUGAACUUCUUCAAUAUCUUGUCAAGGUAUGUACUUUGCGAAAGACCUAUGAGGCGUCUCGAUCUAUCUCUACAGAUUUUGAUGCCUAAUAUGUAUGCAGCUUCUCCAAGGUCCUUCAUUGAAAAACUCUUGUUCAAAUAGGCCUUUAUGCUUUCCAACAUCUCUAUGUCAUUCCUCAUCAAUAAUAUGUCAUCCACAUACAGUAUGAGGAAAGAUACAGAGCUCUCACUCACUUUUUUAUACAGACAGGCUUCUCCAUAAACCUGUAUGAACCCAAACGCUUUAAUCACCUCAUUAAAGCGAAUGUUCCAACUCCGAGAUGCUUGCACCAGCCCAUAGAUGGAGCGCUGGAGCUUGCACACUUUGUUAGCACCCUUAGGGUCGACAAAACCUUCUGGUUGCAUCAUAUACAACUCUUCCUUAAGGUUCCCGUUAAGGAACACUGUUUUGACGUCCAUUUGCCAAAUUUCAUAAUCAUAAAAGGCGGCAAUUGCUAACAUGAUUCGGACUGAUUUCAGCUUCACUACGGGAGAGAAAGUCUCGUCGUAGUCAACUCCUUGAAUUUUUCGAAAACCCUUUGCGACAAGUCGAGCUUUGUAAACGGUUACAUUACCGUUUGCAUCAGUCUUCUUCUUGAAGAUCCAUUUAUUUUCUAUGGCUCGCCGGUCAUCGGGCAAGUCCACCAAAGUCCAUACUUUGUUCUCAUACAUGGAUCCUAUCUCGGAUUUCANNNNNNNNNNGCUACGGGAGAGAAAGUCUCUUGGUAGUCAAUUCCUUGAAUUUGUCGAAAACCCUUUGCGACAAGUCGAGCUUUACAAAUGGUUACAUUACCGUUUGCAUUAGUCUUCUUCUUGAAGAUCCAUUUAUUUUCUAUGGCUAGCCGGUCAUUGGGCAAGUCCACCAAAGUCCAUACAUUGUUCUCAUACAUGGAUCCUAUCUCGGAUUUCAUCGCUUCAAGCCAUUUGUUGGAAUCCGGGCCCGCCAUCGCUUCUUCAUAGUUCGAAGGUUCACCGUUGGCUAACAACAUGAUUUCCAUCACAGGGUUGCCGUACCACUCUGGUGCGGAGCGUGCCCUCGUGGACCUUCGCGGUUCAGUAGUAACUUGAUCUGAAGCUUCAUGAUCAUUAUCAUUAACUUCCUCUUCAGUUGGUGUAGGCGCUACAGGAACAACUUCCCGCGCUGCGCUACUAUCUUGUUCGAGAGGGGGUGUAAUUACCUCAUCAAGUUCUACCUUCCUCCCACUUACUUCUUUCGAGAGAAACUCUUUCUCUAGAAAGGAUCCGUUCUUGGCAACAAAGGUUUUACCUUCGGAUCUAAGAUAGAAGGUAUACCCAAUAGUUUCCUUAGGGUAUCCUAUGAAUACGCAUUUCUCCGCUUUGGGUUUGAGCUUUUUUGGUUGAAGUUUCUUCACAUAAGCAUCGCAGCCCCAAACUUUAAGAAANNNNNNNNNNCCAAACCAUAGUUCAUACGGUGUCGUCUCAACGGAUUUAGAUAGUGCCCUAUUUAAAGUGAAUGCUGCAGUUUCUAAUGCGUAUCCCCAAAAUGAUAGCGGUAAGUCGGUAAGAGACAUCAUAGAUCGUAUCAUAUCUAAUAAAGUGCAAUUACGAUGUUCAGACACUCCGUUGCGUUGCGGUGUGCCAGGCGGCGUCAGUUGUGAAACGAUUCCACACUUCCUUAGUGUGUGCCAAACUCGUGACUCAAAUAUUCUCCUCCACGAUCAGAUCGNNNNNNNNNNUCAAACCAUAGUUCAUACGGUGUCGUCUCAACGGACUUAGACGGUGCCCUAUUUAAAGUGAAUGCUGAAGUUUCUAAUGCGUAUCUCCAAAAUGAUAGCGGUAAGUCGGUGAGAGACAUCAUAGAUCGUACCAUAACUAAUAAAGUGCGAUUACGACGUUCAGACACUCCGUUGCGCUACGGUGUGCCAGGCGGUGUCAGUUGUGAAACGAUUCCACACUUCCUUAGGUGUGUGCCAAACUCGUGACUCAAAUAUUCUCCUCCACGAUCAGAUCAUAGACACAUAAUUUUUCUGUCACGUUGAUUCUCGACCUCACUCUGAAAUUCCUUGAACUUUUCAAAUGUCUCAGAUUUGUGCUUCCUCAAGUAGAUAUACCCAUACCUACUCAAAUCAUCGGUGAGAGUGAGAACAUUACGAUAGCCACCGCGAGCUUCAACGUUCAUUGGACCACACACAUCAGUAUGUAUUAUUUCUAAUAAGUCGGUUGCUCUCUCCAUUAUUCCUGAGAAUGGAGUAUUAGUCAUCUUGCCCAUGAGGCACGGUUCGCAUGUGUCAAAUGGUUCAAAGUCAAGAGAUUCUAAUAGUCCAUCAGUAUGGAGCUUCUUCAUGCGCUUAACGCCGAUAUGACCAAGGCGGCAGUGCCACAAGUAUGUGGGACUAUCAUUAUCAACUUUACAUCUUUUGGUACUCACACUAUGAAUAUGCGUAACAUCACGAUCGAGAUUCAUCAAGAAUAAACCAUUCACCAGCGGAGGAUGACCAUAAAACAUAUCACUCAUAUAAAUAGAACAACCAUUAUUCUCNNNNNNNNNNGACAUUUAAUUUUUCUGUCACGUUGAUUCUCAACCUCACUCUGAAAUUCCUUGAACCUUUCAAACGUCUCAGAUUUGUGCUUCAUCAAGUAGAUAUACCCAUACCUACUCAAAUCAUUAGUGAGAGUGAGAACAUAACGAUAACCACCGCGAGCUUCAAGGUUCAUUGGACCACACACAUGAGUAUGUAUUAUUUCCAAUAAGUCGGUUGCUCUCUCCAUUAUUCCUGAGAAUGGAUUCUUAGUCAUCUUGCCCAUGAGGCACGGUUCGCAUGUGUCAAAUGAUUCAAAGUCAAGAUACUCUAAUAGUCCAUCAGUAUGGAGCUUUUUCAUGCGCUUAACGCCGAUAUGACCAAAGCGGCAGUGCCACAAGUAUGUGGGACUAUCAUUAUCAACUUUGCAUCUUUUGGUACUCACACUAUGAAUAUGUGUAACAUCACGAUCCAGAUUCAUCAAAAAUAAACCAUUCACCAGCGGAGCAUGACCAUAAAACAUAUCACUCAUAUAAAUAGAACAACCAUUAUUCUCUGACUUAAAUGAGUAGCCGUCUCGCAUUAAGCAAGACCCUGAUACAAUGUUCAUGCUUAAAGAUGGUACUAAAAAACAAUUAUUAAGGUUUAAAACUAAUCCCGACGGUAGAUGUAAAGGUAGCGUGCCGACGGCGAUCACAUCGACCUUUGAACCAUUCCCGACGCGCAUCGUCACCUCGUCCUUGGCCAGUCUCCGCUUAUUCCGCAGUUCCUGCUUUGAGUUGCAAAUGUGAGCAAUAACACCGGUAUCAAAUACCCAGGAGCUACUAUGAGCGCUGGUAAGGUAUACAUCAAUAACAUGUAUAUCACAUAUACCUUUAACGUUGCCGGCCUUCUUGUCCGCUAAGUAUUUGGGGCAGUUCCGCUUCCAGUGACCCUUUCCCUUGCAAUAGAAGCACUCAGUCUCAGGCUUGGGUCCGUUCUUUUUCUUCUUCCCGGCAUCUGGCUUACCGGGUGCGGCAACAGCUUUGCCGUCUUUCUUGAAGUUCUUCUUACCCCUGCCUUUCUUGAAACUAGUGGUCUUGUUGACCAUCAACACUUGAUGCUCUUUCUUGAUUUCUACUUCUGCAGACUUGAGCAUCAAGUACAACUCGGGAAUGGUCUUCUCCAUCCCUUGCAUGUUGUAGUUAAGCACAAAACCUUUGUAGCUUGGUGGGAGAGACUGGAGGAUUAUUUCAAUUAUAGCAUCAUCCGGAAGUUCGACUCCAAGUGAAGUCAGACGACCGUGUAACCCAGACAUUUUGAGUAUGUGCUCACUGACAGAACUGUUCUCCUCCAUCUUACAGCUAAAGAACUUGUCGGAGACUUCAUAUCUCUCGACANNNNNNNNNNCUGAUACUAAAUAACAAUUAUUAAGGUUUAAAACUAAUCCCGACGGUAGAUGUAGAGGUAGCGUGCCGACGGCGAUCACAUCGACCUUGGAGCCAUUCCUGACGCGCAUCGUCACCUCGUCCUUGGCCAGUCUCUGCUUAUUCCGCAAUUCCUGCUUUGAGUUGCAAAUGUGAGCAACAACACCGGUAUCAAAUACCCAGGAGCUACUACGAGCGUUGGUAAGGUACACAUCAAUAACAUGUAUAUCACAUAUACCUUUAACGUUGCCGGCCUUCUUGUCCGCUAAGUAUUUGGGACAGAUCCGCUUCCAGUGACCCUUUGCCUUGCAAUAGAAGCACUCAGUCUCAGGCUUGGGUCCAUUCUUUUUCUUCCUCCCGGCAUCUGGCUUACCGGGCGCGGCAAUGGCUUUGCCGUCUUUCUUGAAGUUCUUCUUACCCUUGCCCUUCUUGAAACUAGUGGUCUUGUUGACCAUCAACACUUGAUGCUCUUUCUUGAUUUCUACUUCUGCAGACUUGAGCAUCGAGUACAACUCGGGAAUGGUCUUCUCCAUCCCUUGCAUGUUGUAGUUCAGCACAAAACUUUUGUAGCUUGGUGGGAGAGACUGGAGGAUUCUGUCAAUUAUAGCAUCAUCCGGAAGUUCGACUCCAAGUGAAGUCAGACGANNNNNNNNNNUGGGCAUGAGCUUGAAAAACUAGCUUCAGCUCUUGGAACAUCUCAUAUGUACCGUGUUGCUCAAAACGCCUUUGGAGCCCCGUUUCUAAACUGUAUAGCAUGCCACACCUAACCAGAGAGUAGUCAUCACUCCGCGUUUGCGAGACAUUCAGAAUGUCCUGGGCUGAUGCGGGAGCGGGAGGGUCACCUAGCGGCGCAUCAAGGACAUAAGCCUUUUUAGCUGCUUCAAGGAUGAGCUUCAAGUUGUGAACCCAGUCCGCAUAGUUGCUACCAUCAUCUUUUAGCUUGUUUUUCUCUAGGAAUGCGUUGAAAUUGAGGUUGACGUUUGCCAUCUACAAUAUUUAUAAAGACAACCUUUUUUAGACUAAGUUCAUGACAAUUAAGUUCAUUUAAUCAAAUUAAGUAUGAACUCCCACUUAAAUCGACAUCUAUACCUAUACUAAUUAGAGACUCUCAAAAAAUUACCACGUUAAUUAGAAAUUAAGAGCCGUUUAUCUUAUGUGGGACCGAAUUAUUACGGUGUAGAUCUUCCUAUAACUCCCUUAUUAGUUUUAACCGGAAAUACUUCAUGUUAUCCUUAAAACUAGGAACCACAGCCGUUGGAUGUUGUUAAUAAAGAGUAAACAUAAAACGUUAGGUGUUUGAUUGAUUCGAACGAGCCCUGGACCAUUUAUAUAUUUAUAUAAAAAAGAGUACUGUAGCUUCAAAAUAAAAAGAGUCCCAUAUGAUCCCAUGAAGUCGUGAGCUAUCCUAAUCCUGCAUCUUUCCUUCAACCGUGGCCUGGGUCUAGCCGCCGCGAGUCUCCCCUUUCCACCCCAGCGCCGUCACGCUCUUCAUCAAAGCAAGAUUGUCCACCUUUAUGUCCAUGCGCUGUGCGUGCAUAUCACACAUCAGGAUACAUCCAUCCAUCCAGGAAGUAAGAUUUACUUUAGCGUCCCUGUUUAAUGACAUGGAUUCAUCAUUACUGCACCGAUGAAAUCUCCAUCAAAGCAAGAUUGUUUAGUUGAGCAAGUAGCCGUAUACAUGUCUCAUGUCUGGACCACGGUCGAGAGAGUUCAGUGCAGCUGCCUAGCUGACUUGAGAAUAUAUUGUUGCCCUUGGUGAUUACUACCACGAGAAUCAAGCUAGACCUACUACUACUUGCCGGCUGCACAACUUGCACAUGUACGUGCAAGGCUAAAUCCAAGAACCAACUAAUGGCCGUUGCUUCAGUUAGCAGCAGUACGCACAUGUACAUAUGUAUAUAUAUAUACAAGACGACUGUGCAAGCAUGCAGUCUAAUUACUUCUGCUAUAAAGAAGGAGCAUGGGCAGUGAUUCUGUAGGGCAGCCAACUGACCGUUCGCUAUGUUGUUGUAUAUAUUGUUGCUAAUCUUUCCUCCUUUUGGUUAUUUUGUUCUUUCCUAAAGUCUAAUAGGUAUCUGUCGUCCAUACAUUGAUCCUUUGUAUAGAUGAAAACCUAAAAAAAUAUCUUUCUCUAAACAGUACCACAUUAGAUUUAUUGCUACGCUCUGUUCAAUCAAUAGAGAUUUGGAUAAUUUGAUUUGCAAUAAUGCUAAACUCACACUUUAGUUCAUUAUGUCAACUCUCUUUAGGUUAAAGUAUUUAUUUUCAGCAGCUUAGCACUGACUUCAUCUAUAUAAAUAAACUAAUUCGUACAAGAGUUGUAAUUUCUUAUUCUUUUUACAUAUGUGCAUGGCCGACGAUGGUGCCGAAUAACUAUGGCGCAUAUGUUAGAUUCAAUGGUUUGCUUGUAUAGAUGAAAACCUGAAAAAAAUAUCUUUCUCUAAAUAGUACCACAUUAGAUUUAUUGCUACGCUCUGUUCAAUCAAUUGAGAUUUGGAUAAUUUGAUUUGCAAUAAUGCUAAACUCACACUUUAGUUCAUUAUGUCAACUCUCUUUAGGUUAAAGUAUUUAUUUUCAGCAGCUUAGCACUGACUUCAUCUAUAUAAAUAAACUAAUUCGUACAAGAGUUGUAAUUUCUUAUUCUUUUUACAUAUGUGCAUGGCCGAUGAUGGUGCCGAAUAACUAUGACGCAUAUGUUAGAUUCAAUGGUUUGCUUUUCUUAUGCUGCAAAAGAAUUAUCUCAUUGCUCGACAACCCUGAGCAUUCUUUCCAAUUAGCAUCUACUGACAAUUGCACUAUUUGGUUAUCUUCAUAUUACCUUUUACUCGCUUUGUCGUCACUUAUACAGAUGAACUGACCCAGUUUGCGCAUCUUAUUCAAUAAUUUUAGAUGCAAGAAUAUGGUAAAUUGUUACUGAUUUACUAUAAGAUAAGAAAAUAAUAAAGCAAUGAUUACACUUUUUACACAUGUACCGUUGCAUUCUCAUCCUCAUGUCGAAAUGCUAAAGCAUACUUGGAAGCGGCAUGAUAGUACUAAAUUUAUACACAAUACUGAACGUUUACUUGAGCAGUAGCCGUCCGGAGUUUAACAUGUGCUCUUACCUUUUAACUGUGUCUUGGAAUAAUGCUCUUAUAUGCUUCCACUAGAUUUUAUCCGAUGCAAACAUAUAGAUACACUUUCAUAAGCCAAGCGCAAGUCCUUCUGCUUUGAGAUUGAUUUCGAUUUACAGUUGAUGCAUAUAUUACCUCCUUAAUAAGUUGUUCAAAUAUAGAGGAUGUGACUAACUUAUUGAGUAUAAUAAUUUUCCAGAUGGGUGUUGCAUUUAACAGAUCCCUAGCUUUGUUAUGGUACCAUUGGACUAUCCAGACCGGUAAGGCGUAAGGGAAUCACAUAACAUGUUUCUCAGGUGAGAUGCUAUAUAUAAACAUGCAUAUGGCCAUUAAUGUCUAUGUGCUGGACGGUGAAAUGAACUCCCUACCGAAGCUAUGCUAUCUUAUGCUAAUUAGGCUAGCAUGUUCGGCUACACUUGCUAGGAGUUUGGUCGGAUUAUUAUAUGUUGUCUUAUUUUCUUGCUAAUUUUGUAGUUUCUGACAUUUAUCAUGAUUUUUCGUCCUUUAAUAAAAUUUUACUUUUUGACUACAAAACUACAACUAUCUUUAUCUACGUACUACUAUUUAAUUUUUUUCCUUUGGCUUCUAUUCUAUUUCAGGCUUGGGUGUACUGAAACAAUAAUAUAGGUAUAAACUUAUACAGAUGAGCUGCACUACUCUGCGCAGCUUAUCCAAUUGAUCUGGCCGUAAGUAUAUUAGUUUGUACAAGAUACUGAUUCAUUGCCGGUUCUUAUCUAUAUAUGGUGUACUAUUUUGUUAGAAGAUGGUUUGUAAUGUUGAUGCAUUCUUAAUGGUACAUACUUAUUACAUUUUAUUUUUAGAUAUUGCCCUUUCAAAUUUCAUUUGGAUAGAUGAUUGUUUUUUUAUAAAUACCCUUUAUGAAUAUUUUACUUUAUGAUAAAAAAACAGUCAAACUGUUUCAGUUUCAUAAGCAUCUAGCGAGAAUAAUUACCAGACAUAUUUCCAAAUAUUGCCUCCGUCCCAGAAUUGAAGAUCGUUUUGCAGGCUAUGUAUUGUAGCUAGGAUGGAGGGAGUAUCAUUUACAUCUUUUAUAAAAGUGCUGCAUCGGCUAUGGACAUCUGGAUGCUAUGAGUGCAUAGUUGUCUUUUGAGUUUCGUUGUAUAAGCUAAUGUAUGCUUUUAUUUUCUCUUGAGCUUUUGGUUUAUGUUUGAUAUACAUCCCAUGGUAAACAAAAGAACAUGUGGAGUGACCUGGUCAUUUGUUUAUUAUGGUGAUUCUCCUAUUCCAUUGGCUAUUUUGUAGGUGAUUUGCAAUCAACAAUUAAUGGAGUUUGGUAAAGAAGGUGCCAUCAUAGUGACUCUUCAUUAGGUUCUCAUUGUUCACUUAUAAUGGAAACAAUAACACAAUACAUGAUGUGUGUGCAUAGAAUUAUGUGAUCAAUUGUUUCCAAGUUAUUGCUUGAUUUUGCUAUAACAAGCCAAAUGUUUCUUUGAAGUCUAAUCAUCAUCCAAUAGCUGUUUAUAUAUGUUCGUUUUGUUGUGUAUCUUGUGGAUUCAUGCCAUGCAAACUACUUUAUGGUUCUCUACUAUUUAUAUGAACAACAAAAUUUGUUUUAUUUUCAGACAUAAUAAGGUUAAGUAAAACAAAGAAGACUAAUUUAAGGAUGUAGCAUGACAUUGCGGAGUGCAAGAGUUCAUCAAAACGAGAUAACCUACGAAAAAAAACAUGAAAACAAGACGGUGAAAUUAUUUGCCGAUAAAUUUAUGCUACUUUGCAUUGUAGAUGAGAAUACAUUUUUGAGCAUGACAUGUAAAUAUGUCAUGUAGUGUACGUCCAAAGUUGGAUUUUCUUUUUAACUUUGGUGUAUGACUUCUCCUAGAUAACAAAUUUCAGACAUUUUCAUAUAUGGUAAGCAUUUUUUUAAUUACUUCAUUACUAAUAGUGAUAUAUUUUCAUAUUUAGAUAUAUAUGUGUAUCAGAUAACCUAUUAGUAUCUUUAUGUGUUCUCAAAAUAACUAGCUCGUGCUGAUGCACGGGUUGACGACUAGUCCCUCUAGUCAUCUAAGUGAUACAUGAUCCAUGUUGACUGACCCGUGUCCGAUCAUCACGUGAGACGGACUAGUCACCAUGGUGAGCAACUUCAUGCUGAUCGUAUUCAACCAUACGACUCAUGUNNNNNNNNNNCGGGCAUGAGCUUGAAAAACUAGCUUCAGCUCCUGGAACAUCUCAUAUGCCCCGUGUUGCUCAAAAGGCCUUUGGAGCCCCGUUUCUAAACUGUAUAACAUGCCACACCUGACCAGAGAGUAGUCAUCACUCCGCGUUUGCCAGACGUUCAGAAUGUCCUGGGCUGCUGCGGGAGCGGGAGGGUCACCUAGCGGCGCAUUAAGGACAUAAGCCUUUUUAGCUGCUUCAAGGAUGAGCUUCAAGUUGCGAACCUAGUCCGCAUAGUUGCUACCAUCAUCUUUCAGCUUGUUUUUCUCUAGGAAUGCGUUGAAGUUGAGGUUGACGUUGGACAUCUACAAUAUUUAUAAAGACAACUUUUAGACUAAGUUCAUGACAAUUAAGUUUAUUUAAUCAAAUUAAGUAUGAACUCCCACUUAAAUCGACAUCCCUCUAGUCAUCUAAGUGAUACAUGAUCCAUGUUGACUAACCCGUGUCCGAUCAUCACGUGAGACGGACUAGUCAUCAUGGUGAGCAACUUCAUGCUGAUCGUAUUCAACCAUACGACUCAUGUNNNNNNNNNNUUGUAAAUCUAGCUUACACACGUUGUAUGCGAACGUUAGAAUCUAUCACACCCGAUCAUCACGUGGUGCUUCGAGACAACGAUCCUUCGCAACGGUGCACACUUAGGGGAAUACGUUCUCGAAAUUUUAAGAGGGAUCAUUUUAUUAUGCUACCGUCGUUCUAAGCAAUAAGAUGAAAAACAUGAUAAACAUCACAAUGCAAUCAUAUAGUGACAUGAUAUGGCCAUUAUCAUCUUUGCUCUUUNNNNNNNNNNUCAACCUUUCGGUCUCUUGUAUUCGAGGUCAUGUCUGUACAUGCUAAGCUCGUCGAGUCAACCUAGGUGUUUCGCGUGUGUAAAUGUGGCUUACACCCGUUGUAUGCGAACGUUAGAAUCUAUCACACCCGAUCAUCACGUGGUGNNNNNNNNNNNNNNNNNNNNNNNNNNNNNNNNNNNNNNNNNNNNNNNNNNNNNNNNNNNNNNNNNNNNNNNNNNNNNNNNNNNNNNNNNNNNNNNNNNCGAUCUCCAUCUUCAGGCAUCGCAUGAUCAUCAUCGUCACCGGUGUGACACCAUGAUCUCCAUCAUCAUGAUCUUCAUCAUCGUGUCUCCGUGAAGUCGUCACGCCAACUACUACUAUCACUACUACUAUAGCUAACCGUUAGCAAUGAAGUGAAAGUAGUAAGCACAUGGCGUUGCAUCUCAUACAAUAAAUUAAGACAACUCCUAUGGCUCCUGCUGGUUGUCAUACUCAUCGACAUGCAAGUCGUGAAACCUAUUACAAUAACNNNNNNNNNNUGAUCUCCAUCUUCAGGCAUCGCAUGAUCAUCAUCGUCACCGGCGUGACACCAUGAUCUCCAUCAUCAUGAUCUCCAUCAACGUGUCUCUGUGAAGUCGUCACGCCAACUACUACUAUCACUACUACUAUAGCUAACCGUUAGCAAUGAAGUAAAAGUAGUAAUCACAUGGCAUUGCAUCUCAUACAAUAAAUUAAGACAACUCCUAUGGCUCCUGCCGGUUGUCAUACUCAUCGACAUGCAAGUCGUGAAACCUAUUACAAUAACAUGAUCAUUUCAUACAUCAUACAUGCAACAUCACAACUUUGGCCAUAUCACAUCACAUGCCAAACCCUGCAAAAACAAGUUAGACGUCCUCUAAUUGUUGUUGCAAGUUUUACGUGGCUGAUUUGGGUUUCUAGCAAGAACGCUUUCUUACCUACGUGACAGCCACAACGAUGAUAUGCCAAACCUAUUUACCCUUCAUAAGGACCCUUUUCAUCAAAUCCACUCCGACUAGAGUAGGAGAGACAGGCACCCGCUAGCCACCUUUAUGCACGAUGUGCAUGUCUGUCGGUGGAACCAGUCUCACGUAAGUGUACGUGUAAUGUCGGUCCGGGCCGCUUCAUCCCACAAUACCGUCGGAAAAGAAUAAGACUAGUAGCGGCAAGCAAUUGACAAAUCAUCGCCCACAACCUUUUGUGUUCUACUCCUGCAUAGAAUCUACGCAUAGAAAACCUGGCUCGCAUGCCACUGUUGGGUAACGUAGCAUAAAUUCAAAAAAAUUCCUACGCAUAUUCAGAUCUUCCUAUGAAGAGACCAGCAACGAGAGAGGGGGUGAGUGCAUCUUCAUACCUUUGAAGAUCGCUAAGCGUAAGCGUUACUAGAACGCGGUUGAUGGAGUCCUACUUGCGGCGAUUCAUAUCGCGGUGUGAUUCCGAUCUAGUGCCGAACAACGGCACCUCCGCGUUCAACACACGUGCAGCCCGGUGACGUCUCCCGCACCUUGAUCCAGCAAGGAGGAGGGAGAGGUUGGGGAAGAACUCCAGCAACACGACGGCGUGGUGUCGAUGGAGAGACGAGGUCUCCCGGCAGGGCUUCGCCAAGCACCGGCAGAGAGGAGGAGGAAGAAGAGCAGGGCUGCGCCGAGAGAGAGGGAAAAACCGUGUAUCUCAAUGGCCAAAAGUGCCCGAUAUAUAUAGGGGGAGGGGAGAGGGGGUGCCACCCCUAGGGUUCCCACCCUAGGGGGUGCGGCAGNNNNNNNNNNNNNNNNNNNNNNNNNNNNNNNNNNNNNNNNNNNNNNNNNNNNNNNNNNNNNNNNNNNNNNNNNNNNNNNNNNNNNNNNNNNNNNNNNNNNGCAGCCUGACGACGUCGUCGAGUUCGUCGCUUGCCGCACCGGGCAGGAGAACGAGAGGAAGAAGAAGAGAAAUGGACGAUUUGGGUUCGAAAUUUUCUAACUCCCGCUUAUACAGGUGGAUCUUUAGUCCCGGGUGGAGCCACGAACCGGGACUAAAGACCCCUUUAGUCCCGGGUGGAGCCACGACCCGGGACUAAAGACCCUUUUUCGGGCAGACCAGAAGGCGGGAAACAGGGGCCCUUAGUCCCGGGGCAUGGCUCCAACCGGGACUAAAGGGGAUCUUUAGUCCCGGGUGGAGCCACGACCCGGGACUAAAGGCCCUUUUUGGGCAGACAAGAAGGCGGGAAGCAGUGGCCUUUAGUCCCGGGGCGUGGCAAGAACCGGGACUAAAGUUUUGCCUAUAUAAACCCUCGCCCCUGCCCGCCAUAUCCCCUGUUUUUUGGUUGUUGAAGUGUGACCAUGCCAUGCUCUUUCCACUCUAGUUCAUGCACAUGACGUGUUCGAUGAAAUUCCCGAGCCACUCUACUUCAGCUUUCUCCUCUCCAAGCUCCAUUUUCCUUAAUAUUUGUCUAGGUUUGGCCGUGCACCAACUGCGAGCACCACCGUGGUGAGCCUCUUGUUCUUAUCUUCUUUUUAAAAUCAAAAAAAUCUUACUUGUAUCAUUUAGAUACAUACUUGUAUAAAUUACUCACUUUCAUUAUUUUUUGUUAUUAUAUAGUGCGAUGGUUUUGGUAUCCGCCUCCGUCGGCCCUCGUCCUGUCUAUGAUUCGGAUGUGGUAUAUAUUAUCUUUUAUAACUAUUUGUUUUAUUUAGUGUUUAUGACAAUUAUGACGACCAAUGUGACAUAUAUUUUUUUUAAUCUAGGAGGUAUGUGAACCGGAAAUUCCAACCCACAUAAAAAUUCUUGUCGAGAAGUUAAAUUUGGUUGAAAAAGAAAACAAAUACUUGAAAAAAAUCUGAAAAUAAUUGAGGAUAAGAAUAUGGAACUGGAGUUGCAUGUCGCCGAUGUCAUCGAUGAUCGCAAGAUGAAGAUCCAUGCGAUGCGGUUGAAGAUGGAUGCAAUGCGCUUGAAGAUGGAUGAAAUGCGCUUGAAGAUUAGGAAUAUUAGAAAAUAUGCCAUUGAUAAAGAGGCUUAGUAUCAUUAUGCUGUUGGGUCAAUUGUUACCUUAGUUGCGAUUUUGAUCGCGUUUGUUGUUGCAUUUAAAUGUUUUACAUAGUUGUAUGUUGUUUUAUUAGAGAACUUUAUGUAUUUAUUUUUUGCAAUAAUAACAUUUGAUCACUACUGUUCUUUGGCUUUAAUGUGAUGAUGAACUUGUAUUAAUUUGGUCAUAUGUUCUGCAAUGGUUUUUUGAACUUAUUUGAACUCCAUACUUUUUGUGUGUUCAAAAUGCAUCAUUCAAAGGCACAUCACAAAAUUUCAACAAUUUCUGACUUCAUUUGGUAUAUUUGGUGCAUUUACUUGUUUUUUUGAGCUAGUUGACCCUGAAAUUGAAAAGCGCUACAAAUGAACUCUGAAAAUGUUGAAAGUUUGCAUGCUAUCAUCAUUUCACCCACAUAGCAUGUGUUAAAAAGUUGAGAGGGCUACGACAAAAACUGGAUGCACUUCGUUUACAAAACGGACAAUCUCUCUCGAAGUAUCAGGGUUUCGAACGAGAACNNNNNNNNNNAUACUUCGUGUACAAAACGGACAAUCUCUCUCGAAGUAUUAGGGUUUCGAACGAGAACUCAUCUCUUACAAAGGGAUUUCAUUUUUUGAACUUAUUUGAACUCCAUACUUUUUGUGUGUUCAAAAUGAAUCAUUCAGAGGCACAUCACAAAAUUUCAACAAUUUCUGACUUCAUUUGGUAUAUUUCAUGCAUUUACUUAUUUUUUUGAGCUAGUUGACCCUGAAAUUGAAAAGCACUACAAAUGAACUCUGAAAAUGUUGAAAGUUGGCAUGCUAUCAUCAUUUCNNNNNNNNNNAAUGUGUUAAAAAGUUGAUAGGGCUACGACAAAAACUGGGUGCACUUCGUGUACAAAACGGACAAUCUCUCUCGAAGUAUCAGGGUUUCGAACGAGAACUCAUCUCUUACAUGGAUACUAUGAAAAUGAAAAGUGUUUGAAAUUUAGUACAUUCCAUACAUGCAUUACAUAAAAGGUUUAAUACAUUAUUACAUUAUUGCACCAAUAUUCCUAUCUAUUAUUUCUGUUUUCUUCUGGGUCGUAGCCAUGGAGAAUCUUCAUCAUUCAGUAGGAUGCUUGGGUCAGUUUUCACUUUGAAGGGCGGAAUUUCAUGAAACUUAUUAUAAUCUUCUGACAUGUCUAUCUUGUCAUCUACUCCCACGAUGUUUCUUUUCACUGAAAGAACUAUGUGGCAUUUUGACUCAUCGGACGAUAUCUUCUUUUGCUGAUUUCUUUUUCUCGUUAAUGUAGACAUGUCCUUCACAUAGAAAACCUGAGCGACAUCAUUGGCUAGGACAAAUGGUUUGUCCAUGUACGCAAGAUUGUUGAGAUCCACUGUUGUCAUGCCGUACUUUUGGUGUACAACUACCCCGCCUCCUGUCAGCUUCACCCAUUUGCACCGAAACAAAGGGAUCUUAAAAGUAGGUCCAUAGUCAAGUUCCCAUAUCUCCUCUAUGUACCCGUAAUAUGUUUCCAAACAGUGCCCAUUCUCGUCUGUUGCAUCAAAGCGGACACCACUAUUUUGGUUGGUGCUCUUUUUAUCUUGGGCAACCGUGUAAAAUGUACUCCCAUUUAUCUCAUACCCUUGGAAAGUACAUAUAGUCGAAGAUGGUGGCCUGGCCAAACAGUACAACUCAUCUUCAACGGUGUUAUCAUUCAUGAGAUGUGUCUGCAACCAACUGCCGAAAGUCUUCUCGUGUUCCCCUUUAAUCCAAGAGUCAGCCUUCCCCGGGUUUUCGGAGCGUAGAAUAUUCUUGUGUCUCACGAUAUAUGGAACCACCACGGUGGAAUUGUGUAGAACUGUGUAGUGUUCUUGAGAGAAAGAAUGCCCGUCCAUACAUACUUUUGCUUUCCUUCCUAGUGUGCCUUUUCCUGUCAGCCUACCCUCAUACCGAGAUUCAGGAACACCAAUCGGCUUAAGGUCAGGAAGAAAGUCCACACAAAACUCAAUGACCUCCUCUGUUCUAUAGCCCUUGGAGAUGCUUCCUUCUGGCCUAGCACGGUUACGAACAUAUUUCUUUAAGACUCCCAUGAACCUCUCGAAGGGGAACAUAUUCUGUAGAAACACAGGACCAAGAAUUCUAAUCUCUUCGACUAGGUGAACUAGGAGGUGUGUCAUUAUAUUGAAGAAGGAUGGAGGGAACAACAACUCAAAGCUGACCAGACAUUGGACCACAUCAAUCUGUAACCCUGAUAGACUUUCUCGAUCGAUUACCUUCUAAGAAAUUGCAUUGAGGAAUGCACAUACCUUCACAAUUGCCAGGCGAACAUUUUCCGAUAGAAUUCCCCUCAAUGCAACCGGAAGCAAUUGCGUCAUAAGCACGUGGCAGUCAUGAGACUUUAGGUUUUGGAAUUUUUUGUCUUUCAUAUUUACGAUUCCCUUUAUAUUCGACGAGAAGCCAGUCGGGACCUUGAUACUGAACAGGACUUCGAAGAAGAUUUCCUUCUCUUUCUUAGUAAGAGCGUAGCUGGCACGCCCUUGAAACUGCCCUGGAUGCAUGCCAUCUCUUCCUUUAUGACGUUCCUGGUCCUCCCGUGCUUCCGGUGUAUCUUUUGACUUCCCAUACAAGCCCAAGAAGCCUAGAAUAUUCACGCAGAGAUUCUUCGUCAGGUGCAUCACGUCGAUUGCCGCGCGGACCUCAUGGACUUCCUAGUAGGGUAGCUUCCAAAAUAUAGAUUUCUUCUUCCACAUGGGUACGCGCUUAUCAGGGCCGUUAGGAACAGGUUGGCUGCCAGGACCCUUUCCAAAGAUUACUUUUAAAUCUUUGACCAUAUCAAAUACUUCAGCACCAGUACGGAUGACAGGCUUCCCCCGGGGUUCUGCCUUGCCAUUGAAAUGCUUGCCUUUUUUCUUUAAGGGAUGCUUGGGCGGAAGAAAACGACGAUUGUACGGAUACACAUUCUUCCUACAGUUGUCAAGAUAUAUACUUUCUGUCUGAUCCAAAUAGUGCGUGCAUGCAUUGUAUCCCUUGUUUGACUGUCCUGAAAUGUUACUAAGAGCAGGCCAAUCAUUGAUGGUUACGAAAAGCAACGCUCGAAGGUCAAAUUCCUCUUGUUUGUGCUCGUCCCACACACGUACACCUGGUUCGACCCACAGCUGUAAAAGUUCAUCAACUAAUGGCCUUAGGUACACAUCAAUAUCGUUGCCGGGUUGCUUUGGACCUUGUAUAAGCACUGGCAUCAUAAUGAACUUCCGCUUCAUGCACAACCAAGGAGGAAGGUUGUAGAUACAUAGAGUAACGGGCCAGGUGCUGUAACUGCAACUCUGCUCCCCAAAAGGAUUCAUGCCAUCUGUACUCAGACCUAACCAUAAGUUCCUUGCGUCAGCUGCAAAUCUCGGGAACUCUCUCUCGAUUUUUCUCCACUGCCGACCAUCAGCGGUGUGCCUCAACGUAUCGUCUUUCAUAGGAUCUUCCAUGUGCCAUCGCAACAACUUCGCAUGAUCUUUAUUUCUGAACAGACGUUUCAACCGUGGUAUUAUAGGAGCAUACCACAUCACCUUGACAGGAACCCUCUUCCUGGGUGGCUCGCCCUCAAUAUCACCAGGGUCAUCUUUUCUGAUCUUAUACCGCAAUGUAGUGCAUACCGGGCAUUUAUCCAUAUUCUCGUACUUCUCACCGCGGUAGAGGAUGCAGUCAUUAGGGCAUGCAUGUAUCUUCUGCACAUCUAAUCCUAGAGGGCAGACAAGCUUUUUUGCUUCAUACGUGUUGGCGGGCAAUUCGUUCUUUCUUGGAAGCAUCUUCUUCAUCAGUACCAGCAACUUUUCGAAUGACGAGUCAGUCACACCGGUCUCUGCCUUCCACUUCAGCAAUUCCAGUGUGCUACCCAGCUUCUUCUGGCCAUCUUUACAAGUUGGGUACAACAAUUUGUUGUGGUCCUGUAACAUCUGCUCGAACUGCAACCUCUCCUUUUCUGUGUCGCAACCUCGCCGUGCAUCAGAAAUGACCCGGCCAAGAUCAUCAGCGGGCUCAUCUGGUUCCCGUUCUUCAUCCUGAUCUUCUUCUUCAUUGUGUUCCAUUGCGGUAUCAACAUACUCAGGGAACAUAGAUCGGUAGUUGUCAUCAUCGUUCUCUUCUUCUUCAUCGUCGUCUUCCAUCAUAACCCCUCUUUCUCCGUGCUUGGUCAAUACAUUAUAGCCCGACAUAAAACCGGACCGAAGCAGGUGGCUCUGAAUGACUAUUGAGGAAGUGUAAUCCUUCUCAUUCUGACAUUCAACACAUGGACAAAACAUAUAGCCACCACCACGCUUGUUCGCAUCGGCUGCAUCUCGAAAAGAAUGCACGCCUUCUCUGUAAGCGGUUGUGCGUCGAGCAUCGUACAUCCAUGGAUGGCUCAUCUCUGCGUUAUACGACAGUAUAUCAAAUACAAUCACGAUCCUAAAAAUUAGUACCGCACGGUCUAAACGAGGAAAUAUAGUUGCUAACCUUUUAGANNNNNNNNNNNNNNNNNNNNNNNNNNNNNNNNNNNNNNNNNNNNNNNNNNNNNNNNNNNNNNNNNNNNNNNNNNNNNNNNNNNNNNNNNNNNNNNNNNNNACUUUCACCCCCGCGAGAGCUCAAACCGCUUCCAUGGAUGGUCCCAUCAAAGAUGCAGAACUAUUGCCUGCACCAUCGGCAUUUGCCGCCGGCCUCGUCCCAGCUGAAACGUCCUGCAACGGUGGAAUAGGAUCGGUCCUAGGUGGAUCCCAACACGGGUAUGCCCGUCUCCCACCCCCGCGCCCACCAUGAUUCAGGCGCUGCACCGGUCACUAGCGGAAUAGUGGACCCUUAACACCCUCGACAAACUGGCCAGGAGGGCCAUUGAAUCCCCAGCCACCUCCAUCACCUCGGCCACCGCCGUUGGAAAAAGAACCAGGGUGCAUGCCAUCACCUCUCCAUGAGGCAUUGAAGUUGUUGUUACCCCACUGCCCGCGAUUGUAGUGAUGUCCACCCCCCGCCUGCGUUGAGAAACCUUUGGCCCAGACCAAAUUCCUCGCGUCCGCGGCCAGCCCCAUGUGCGCGAGCAUUUGCGGCCGCCGCCCGACCGUCCCUAGCAGGAGGUGGAGGUCGUUCGGUUUCUGCCUUACCCGGCGGGGCCCCUGACGGUACGAAAAUGGCCUACCGCCGCAAGGGCUGGAGAUAGCAUGUGUAACCCUACCGCCAAGGGGUCCGGCGGUAGGCUCGCACGCGCACUGUGUUUGCAACUUAGAAUUUUUUUUGUGGUAGGUGUGUAACCCUACCACCAGGACCUCUGCGAUAAGUUGUUAUACCCUACCGCCAAGGGGUCCGGCGGUAGAAAAAGGAUCAGAUCCAAUUUUUUUCCUUACUAGGGUCAGAUCCGGCUGAACUUAGGCAAAAGAAAAUUUGCCUAAACUAGCCCCGGGUUUGCCGCCCUAUCUAGCUUGGAGGGCUUGACGUUCAUGGCCUACAUCGCGCUGGCAUCUCGCUCCAUGCAAGAUGGAUUUGUAUGCAACGGGUUGAGAGCAUCUCCCAUCCCCCACGCGCCAUGGCCCAAACGCGUCGCCGAUCGUGCGGACUUCUACUUCCUGACACCUUGGGGAUGGCUCCUUAUGCCGCUUCUGGACUGACCACUGGCUUCACGGUUGUACCAUUACCGAAAUUACAUCGUUCAUUCACGACUUGGUCCCCCGUCGAAGGCACACGCUGCAGACGGUGCAACAUGUUUUGCACGAGCGCGCGUGGAUCAGAGAAAUCAUGGGCAUGCUUGAUCCGGCGGCUCAGGUGGUGCAGUACGUUGAGCUACGGAGGACUCUAUAUUACUCCCUCCGUCCGAAAUUACUUUUCAUGAAAAUGAAUACAAAUGGAUGUAUCUAGAAUUAAAAUACAUCUAGAUACAUCCAUUCCCAUGACAAGUAUUUCCGGACGGAGAGAGUAUAUCAUUCUCUCCCCCACCCCCGAUCGGCUUACUUGGAGACGGACGGAGUCUGACACCUACUCUCUCACGUCCUGCUACUAUGUCAUGUUUCACAAUUCUUUUGAGGACCUUGACUGGUGGAUCGCCUGGAAGACCAGGUCUCUACCGCAUAUCAAGGUCUUCAUUUCGCUCGCCCUGCUAAACCCCUACAUGACACGGCCUUCUAUAUGCGCCGCUUUGCCUCUUCCGUGACCAGGAGACCAAGAGCAUGCACCACCUUCUUGUUGCUUCCUCCUUCUCGUCUUCUCGAGGCAACUAUAGCAUGAGCUUCUCUCAUGGUGUUGGUGCACCUCUGCUCCACCGCUACAGGAUGAUCGUUUCCAGGUUUCGUGGUCUCCCACUUGCGUUGCAGCGCCUCCGUUAGCUCGCAAGGGGCUCUCCUCCCUACUCCUUCUUGGCGCAUGGCUGAUCUUGAAACAUCGUAAUGACAUCAUGUUCGAUGGCGAUGCCCCCUCCCUCCCACAUCUGAUUAGCCUCAUCAUCGGCGAAGCCUGCCUAGGCUGUCGCUAGCAAUAAUGGCAUGGCCAACAUCUUGCCCGAGUAGUCUCCAUGUGGUGAUGUAACACCUCCUCUCUCUCCCCUAGCACAUUCCGGACUCGGACUUCUGAUGGGGUUCUUGUAUUCUUUCCCUACUAUUAAUCAAAAGAUACGCAGGUUCUUGCGUAUUCGAGUAAUGGUUUUGUCUCAUUUACUCGUGAUGUUGCCUCACCUCCGCCAUUAUCGGAUUGAAACUAGCUAACAAGUUGACCAGCCGACAUCCCAAUCGCACAGUAUGUGUUCGGUAGGGUGAAUGAGCUCCUAAGUUCUCAACACAAGGCUUUUUUGACUGUUUGGUAGGAUGUAUGGGCUCACCUCGACUAUAUCCAUCAAAUGCAAAAAGGCCUCUCACCGUGUUGAGUUAAGCACACCCACAUGCAUGGAAGCAGCCACGACUCUCAAAAAAUGUUCAGUACUUAAAGUUUUGUUUAAAUUCUCACAAAAAAUUAGAAAUUCAUUUUUGUUUCAGUUUUUAAAAAAUGUUCAGAAUUUAAGUAUUUAUUCAGAUCUACACAAAAUGUUCAGAAUCUAAAAUAUUAUUUAAAUUCCCAAAAACCAUAUUUAAAAUUUGUUUAAAUUCUCAGCAAAGUUCCAUAAAUUCAAAAACAAAUCAAACAUAUUCAAAAUUUGUUUAGAUUUCCCAAAAAUGUUCAGAAUUUCAAUUUUUAUAUAUAUCUUCAAAAAAUAUUUAGGAUUUUGACCUUUGCUUAAAUUCUCAAAAAAAUAGAAUUUCGAUAUUUGUUUAAAUUCUCGAAAAAAUCAGAAUUUCAAAACUGUAUCAAAAAAAUGUUCUGAUUUCUAAUUUUUGUUAAAUUCUCAAAAUGUAUUCAGAAUUUCAUUUCUUCAAAAUUCUCCAGGAAAAUCGUAAUUUUAAAUUAAAAAUAAACAGAAUAAAAAGCAAUUUUCAAAAAAUGUUCAGAAUUUCAAAUUUGGUUUACAUUUUUAAAAAUGUUCAGAAUUUCAAUUUUUUAAAAAUUCUCAGAAAAUAUUCAAAUUUUGAAAUAUAUUUAAAUUACCUGAAAUUGUUUUGAAUUUGAAAUAUAGAAAAGUUAAAUUCGUUCACAAUUUGAAAAAUGACCAAAAUUUCAAAUUUUGCUUAAAUUCUGAAAAAAUCAGAAUUUAUACAAAUAAAUGUACAUAAUUCUCAUAAUUUCGAAAUUGGUUUACAUUCUCAAACAAACACAGAAUUUCAGAAUUUUCUGAAUUCAAUUUUUGUUUAAAUUUCCCAAAACAGAAUUCCAAAAUGUGUUUAAAUUUUCAAAAGCAUAUUUACAAAUAUAUUUUUUUUAAAUCAAAAUUACAAAAUGUGUUUAAAUUUUUGUUGAUGUUUUUCAAUAUUCGUUCAUCAUAUAAAAACAUAUUCAAAAUUCAAAUUUGCUCAACAUGUUUAAACACAUGCAGGUUGCCAAACGAAGUCUCGGCUCAGUAUGUCUCAGUAUAUACAUCGCUACCAAACAAUAUCAAAUGCAUGUACUCAACAUGUCAUAAAGAGGAACAACAAUGUUACUCAGCAUGUCAUAAAGAGGAACAACAAUGUUACGGUGGGAACUACUGCCAAACAAACCCAAAAGCGGCAGCCAACCCGAUGCCGGUAGUGACCAUCCUCUGAGGCAUGACUUAAGCACGACUUAGAGCGUGGUUAAUAAUAUAGCCAAAAAUCGGUUAUAAGGACUUGUCAUGUCAUAUAGAGUCAACCUAAUAGCCAGCAUAUACAAUAGUAAGUUUUAGAUGUGUACUAUAUUAAUAGUAGUUGGUCCACCUUAUAAUCUCACAAAGUGUCUUGGGUCUCGUGCUGCAGUUGGCUACUCACCAAGAGCGUGUUUGAUUACAUUGGCAAUCGAACCUGGCCCGGCUAGCCUCGCUCUAGUGAGCCGGUUUGAGGGGAUGCAGGCAAAAAAAAACCAGAUGCACAUAGUUUGGUUGCCUGCAUGUACCUUAGUUGCAUGAGACAACCAUUUUUAACCCGACGUUUGGUUGCCCGCAUUACAUUAGGCGCACAUAUGACAUGGUGUUUGGUUGCAACCUGCAUAUGUUGUUGUCACCACUUCUAACUAGUGGUGAUUUUACCACACACAAUCUGAACAUUAGUGCCAGCUAGUUCAAAUGACAGCUAAUCCUAACUACUAUCAAAUGACAGAACAAAUUAUUAAGAGCCAUUGACUAAAUAGGGGAUAGUUCAUCGGUGUUGCUGCUACCAGAUCUUCCUCUUCAUCUUCCUCUUCCUCUGCUUCUGCUUCUUCUUCUUCCUCUUCUUCAAAUCAUGCACUGACCUCUGUUAAGCCACAUUACCUCUGCCCACUCCAACCUUUUGUUCUUCCAAGCUUCAUUGCCAAAUGCCUCCACACCAUGGCCGGAGCUAACAACAUGGUUAGGCUCGACCUCUUCCUCCUCAGGCACGUGUUCGUCAAAGCCCCACUGAAGGAUCCAGUUAUGCAUAAUGCAACAAGCAAGAACAAGCUUAACCUGAGUGGGGUAUGGGUGGAAUGGCUUCUGAUCCAGGAUCCUAAAACUAUUCUUCAGAGCUCCAAAUGCCCUCUCACGGUUACUCUAAGGCUGGAGUGUGUGAGAUUAAACAGCUCCUGUGCAGUCCUAGGAUAAUUCCUACCACUGAACUCGUUGAGAUGGUACCUGGUUUUCCUGAAGGGUGGAAGAACACCCGACCGACAUGCAUAGCCAGCAUGUCCAAGGUAGAACUUGUCGUCGGGGAUGUUGGUCCCAUCAGGUCGAGUCAUGCUGUCACUGAGAAUGUUAGCAUCAUGCGCUGGCCCCUCCCAGCCAGCCAACACAUAUGUGAGCUUCAUAUCAAAGUCAACAGCAGCAAGCACAUUCUGGCUUGUGUAGUGCUUCCUCCCUCUGUAUGCUGCAGACUGUGACCUAGGAACUCUCGAGUGACAUGAGUACCAUCUAUUGCCCCAAUGCAAUCCUAAAAAUGGCAUCACAAGCCUGUGUUAGUGCUCAACUUGAACAAUACAAGCAUAUCAACCCAUGAAAAGUGUAUAUUGUCAGUGCUCACCUUGAAGUAUGGAUACCAUCUUGGGCUUCCUCGAAUCUUGGGUGGAGUCCGGCCAGAUGGUCUCCUGAUAAUCUCUCCUCUAAGCUCCCCAACAGCAAAAAGCACCUCCUUGAAGUACCUAGAGAUGGUCUCCAUUGGUCUCCUGAACGUGUUGUGAAUGACCCUGAACCUCUGGUUAUGGCCAACAACAUGGAGGAACAUUGCCACUUGCUCUUCCAGACAGGUGUUGAUGUUAUCUUGUAGCAGCCCCCUGAUCCUGAAGGUCUCGACAAGCCUGGCAAAUGGUGCUCUUUUCAUUCGAAGCAUCCACAGAGCCUCGACGUCAUUGCAGUUGUAGAUGUAGUUCAAAUUUUGGAUCCUUUCCUGAUCCCGGAUAAACAUUGGACCAUAGCAGAUCAAAGGUCUUCCAACACGACGAACAACUCUCUGGUGCAUGAACAUGACACAUGCCUGAAUCACACUUAUCAGUGCUGCUGCCUGAAAUAUCGGACUCAUCCGUCGUCCAUAACCUAGUCGACAUUGAUGGUUCGUUCAGUGGAAAUCGAUCCUACACCUUGCCUAACGGCCUAACCACCAACCUAACAAAGGGGGGAGGGGUGCUGCUUACCGGCAUCGGAGACGAGGACGGCCUAGGGUGAGCCAUGGCCAACAGCAAUUGGAGCACCAGAUCCGCCGCAAACGUCGCCGCCUUUUCCACCACCGCCGCCGCCUUUAGCGCAGAUCUGAAAUCGCAGCCGCCGCCGGUGGUGAGGUAGUAGGGAAGAAAGGGGCUAUGGGUGAGCGAGUAGAAAGGGGGGUGAGGCUAAUUUGGUGCCGGGGUGGCCAGAUUUCCAUCUCCCGCCAUCCCCCUCGCCCUCGCAUCGCACCCGUCCGUGCGACCUCACGCCGCACUCAGCCUGGCUCGAUUGAAACUGCCGAUCCGAUCGUUUCCAGCGAGCCAGGCUCUGGGCUGCUUUGAGAAGCGUGCGAUGCAGGCCCAACAGUGAAACCAAGCAACCAAACAUGCCUCUUCCUUCCCGCGCGGGCCUGGUUGGGCUCGAUGCGGGGAACCAAACGCGCCCCAAGAGCACGCUUCUCUUCACUCUCCUCCUCUCUCUCUUUCAACUAAGCAAGGAUAUAAUAUUCUAAUUUUUAUAACCUGCUUAUGUCACCUUAUUGUACUUGCUCUUAAGCUAAGAGCAUGGACCGGAGAGAGGAUGGCGGCAUGCAAGCCACAAAAGGAGAGUGAGACGAUGGCGACCUGGACGAAAGGUUCCCUAUUUUGAUUGGUCAUGUGCUCACCCUGCCAAAACAAGGGCGCGCCAAUUAUUGGCAAACGUUUUAGCCGUCAUGUGGAUCGCCGUUGCAGGCGCAGAAUACAACAGGGUGACCAAAAUAUCGGUAGAAAUUCGAAAUUUUGGAAGCUAACCAAACAUGAGCAGAGCGUAUGGGUCAAACAUGAGCAGAGUAAAUAAACUGGUAGGACCAGUACUAAUCAGUAAUCACCGUAUUCCCCUCUAGAAAAGACAUCACGAUAUUCCCUGUACCGUCCACAGAUAUUUGCAUACACAUUCACAGUUCAACUAAACCUCGAGAUACAAAUGAAGAACCUAACGAGCAAUGUCAUGUCUAUUCGCAGGUUCAAUCCGCAGAUAUCUGCAUACGCAUUCACAGUUCAACUAAACCUGACGAGCAAUGUUAUGUCUAUUCGCAUGUUCGUGUAAUACGUCCAUCAUAGGCACACCAAUAUGUCUGACAACCAUAUUAUGUAGUAACGCAACCAAAAUGAGAUUUCACCGGUACGAAGUGGUUUAUCACACAUGAAGCAUCAUGCCGUUGCCGCCGACCUGAAAAAGGAGUGGUGAGGUGAAAGAUGAUUAGAACCAUGCAACCGAGGCAUGAUUACAUAUGUGAAAUCAUCCGCACAAAAUAUUUCUGAGAUGCAUCUACGUAAGCUUUCAUGCUGGUACAAAAUAUAAAGCUAAGGUUUUCACUUCUGAGUUCUGACUCCAAUAAACAGACAGCAGUUAGUUUAGAGAACAAGGAGGUAACCAAAUAGUACAUGCUACCGGAAUAUGCUUUCACCCAAAACACACAGAGAACAGAGGUGGAGCCGAAAUACUUGUAUGCAUCAAAUGGUUUCGUGUGUAUAUCGGUAUAUACAGCUACUUGAAUCUGCUAAUAAUCAUGCUAAUCAAACUAUAGCAAAAAGAAUGAGCGAACACUGAACAAUUACUAAUAUAACAUAAUCAGCGCAAACACAGGCCAAGCAAGGGCACAACCAAAAUUUGAUUCUCCACAGAAGACUAGGAGCUUACUUUGACCAUCUCACAAAAUUUGCCAAAAAUUGGCAAAUCUUGGAGUUGCAAUAUUUUUUGCUACCAACCAAUCAUGCUCUAGAAAUUGUUCAUCCACAGCUGUUCGAGUUUCAGUGUUAUUCAAAGUCAUGUUGCAGAUAUAGCUUAUUAGGCAUUUCUCUACUCAGAUUUGUUUAGCUAGACUCAGUUAUACAAAAUUUAUAAUCACCAAGUGAAUAUCAAAGGGGGGACGGGUGAAUAACAAUGCUAGUAGGCAGUAGUACAUGAAUGAAUGAAUACUUAGCAAUGCAGAUUUUCCUUUGUUGUACUUCAAACAGUAAUAAUCUGUUUGCUAGCAGAUAUGUCAACUGAUCUUUUUAGAUCUUCAGUCAGGCUGCAUUUAUAGCAGAUUAGGCAUUUUUCUCAUGAACAUUAAUUUGCUAAUACAAAUGUUUUUAUACUAUAUUAAAAAAAACAAAAGGAAGUGUCAAUGUACAAAAGAAGAUGAUAAGGAAUGCAAACAUAUGGUCUAUCAAACUUUUUGUAAUGACAAACAAAAUUUCAGUAAAAGGGAUAUUAUUUGAUGCAUUCAGAACUUUGUACGAAGGGAACAUGAAGAUACUCGUUAUACCAGGCAAUUUCACCCGGGUAACCACAUAAUGCUCACUCACAUCCUAAUUGUCACUCAAAUCGAUUGCAACUGUACCAUCUACCAGCACCCACUAACAAGAACCACCAAUGAAGAAAGAGUAUUCAAGUUUUUCACUAAGCACGGGAAAGAGGAAGAACUUCAUUCUGCCACAGCUUGACAUACAGACUCAUCAUCUAUGAGAAGGCAAUGAAGUAGAGCCUGGAGAAAACAUCCAGGAGACAGAGAUUCAUGGAAGCAUGACGGGAGGCUGCUAGGUGGGCAAUAGUUGAACAAAUGGUUGUAGAGAGAAUCAUAGAGUUCUCUCUUGAAAUUUUGUACUUGAGAAAUGGUAAUAAAAGUUAAAGUGAGACAUUUUCGUAACAGAACAGUUCAGAUGCCUCAACUUGCAUGCAGGGGUUAAGCUUACCUGCUCAAACAGAAUAAUCCUCUUAUGCUUUGUUUCCAUCGUUUCCACCACGAGCGCCUCACAGGUUCAGGUUCAAGUUCAGGUUCAGGUUCCUCUUGUCCACCACCAAUGCCUGUUAUACAUGCAUAAGAAGUCAAACGACCAAUGGCAUUCCAGAGAAAAGGGCCAAAUAGACACAAGGAUGCACAAACAAGAUACUUGGAUCAACUCACAGCUGUAAUUUAAGAAACGAAAUAUUUUUGAUAAAAAAAUGGAUGGAUAAGCAGAACCACACCCGCUGUCAAAUUCAAAGAAUAUUCUGAAAACAGUAGAUGCUCAUUAUAUCAUAGAAGUGAAGAACAUGCACACUUGGACUGUUAUCUGAUCACAAAAGAAGGGGAGUUGUCUAGAAUUAUCUUAUUUUCGUUCCACUCCAUACCGAAUAACACAAAAUAAUUCCUACCAACAGAAGUGAUCAUGAUCAUUUAGAUUCAGAUUAUCGUUUAAAAAAAUAGCCUGAAAAGAUGAACUGAACUUGAUUUAUUAACUUUGCCUGGUACAUAUCUCAUCUUGAAAAGAGAAAAACUGCACUGCAGCUAUGCGCUAACGCUGUGAUUAUACAUCUCUUGCACAUUUCAGUAGGCAGGCAACUAUGUAAUUCAGUUCAAUUAUCAUACAACGAAUUAGCCAACCUUGGUGUUGACCGUAUCGCAUUUCAUACCAUCUAUAUAUCAUGUUUAACUGAUGUGGGGUCAAUCCCCUAGCGAUAGUUCAAAGUUGGAUGAUAAAACAACAAUAUUAGAAACAACAUUUGCAGGUAUGGAGGAGAUAUGUUGCAGAGGCCAUGAAGCAGCGAAAGAAACAAGUGAUAUUAAUGCUACCUAAAAUGGCCAGCUUAACACAAAAGGAUAUAAACAACAUUUAAUCAGCCAAUUAUGAUAGAACAACUCAAUUUUGUCACAACCACUGUGAAAAGGCAUGCUAGUACCUGGGGUAUAGACUGUUUCGAAUGGAUGAUGAUGAUAACCAGAGAUGCCGGUCUCAGAAAGUCUCUUGAGCUCCAGUGACUUGAGGUGGAACGUGAAGACACCAAGAACUGUCCAGAAGAAGGCCACAUUGUUUUCCUCCGCAUAACAUAACAUAAGCGGGUUCUCUGGCUCUGGGGGAAGUAAGCUGUCCAAAUCAACAGUUCUUCCAGGCAUCCAUGAACCAACACCAUCACAGUCUGUCUCCCACCUCCAUAACUGGGCAGUGAAGCCAACCACGUCGAGGAAACCCAUCGCACCACCCUCUCCCCGAAUGACCGCGCACUGCUGACUGCUGCCGUGAAGCAUGCCCGGUGGAACCACUGUCGAAGCUAGGCUCUGCCUGCCCAAAUCGAACUCCAGGAUAGUCGUCAGAGAAAUCAGCCAGUAAAUGCGAUCCCCAGCCAGCACAGAGGGCGCGGAAUGAAGCAUGGUCGCGUACGGAAGCUCCGCGGAGAUGAAAUCACCCCAUAAGCCGGUGUCCGAGGAGUAAACGCAGGCGCGCGCUGGCCCUCUCCCGUCGCUGGUCGCCAGGACCACCUGGAAGCGGUCGGCGGCGUCGUCUCCGGUGGCGCCGCGAAGCACCGCCCCGUUGAUCGGGUUGUGCAAAGGGUCGGGCUCGAACCCCUGGGGAAUGUCGAGGCGGUGGCGGGCGCCGGCGAGGGGGUCCCAGACGAGGACCUGGUAGGAGGCCUCGGAGUAGAAGAGCGCGAGGCCGUGGCGCCACCCGAGGGUCUCGUAGCCGGCGCCGAGGGCGAGGGAGAAGUGGCNNNNNNNNNNNNNNNNNNNNNNNNNNNNNNNNNNNNNNNNNNNNNNNNNNNNNNNNNNNNNNNNNNNNNNNNNNNNNNNNNNNNNNNNNNNNNNNNNNNNGAUGAGGUUGAAGCGUCGUUUGAUGUGUCUGGUCUUCUUGUGAAACCGUGGUUCCUUUGCUAAGGCAAUGGCACCACUGUUGUCACAGAACAAGGUUAUUGGAUUCAGUGUGCUUGGCACCACUCCAAGAUCCGUCAUGAACUGCUUCAUCCAGACACCCUCCUUAGCCGCCUCCGAAGCAGCCAUGUACUCCGCUUCACAUGUAGAAUCUGCUACAACGCUUUGCNNNNNNNNNNUGGCCGUGGAAGAGGUUUAGUCAGCGGGUCUGCUACAUUCAGAUCCGUGUGCACUUUGCAUAUAUUUACGUCCUCCCCUUCGACGUAGUCGCGGAUGAGGUUGAAGCGUCGUUUGAUGUGUCUGGACUUCUUGUGAAACCGUGGUUCCUUUGCUAAGUCAAUGGCACCCGUGUUAUCACAGAACACGGUUAUUGGAUUCAGUGCGCUUGGCACCACUCCAAGAUUCGUCAUGAACUGCUUCAUCCAGACACCCUCCUUAGCCGCCUCCGAGGCAGCCAUGUACUCCGCUUCACAUGUAGAAUCUGCUACGACGCUUUGCUUGGAACUGCACCAGCUUACCGCACCCCCAUUAAGAAUAAAUACGUAUCCGGUUUGCGACUUAGAGUCGUCCGGAUCUGUGUCAAAGCUUGCAUCGACGUAACCUUUUACGGCGAGCUCUUCGUCACCUCCAUACACGAGAAACAUCUCCUUAGUCCUUUUCAGGUACCUCAGGAUAUUCUUGACCGCUGUCCAGUGAUCCACUCCUGGAUUACUCUGGAACCUACCUGCCAUACUUAUGGNNNNNNNNNNUUCAGGAUAUUCUUGACCGCUGUCGAGUGAUCCACUCCUGGAUUACUCUGGAACCUACCUGCCAUACUUAUGGCCAGGCUAACAUCCGGUCUAGUGCACAACAUCGCAUACAUGAUAGAACCUAUGGCUAAAGCAUAGGGGACGGAGCGCAUAUGCUCUCUAUCUUCAUCAGUUGCUGGGCACUGAGUCUUACUCAAUCUCGUACCUUGUAGAACUGGCAAGAACCCUUUCUUGGACUGUUCCAUUUUGAACCUCUUCAAAACUUUAUCAAGGCAUGUGCUUUGUGAAAGUCCUAUCAGGCGUUUUGAUCUAUCCCUAUAGAUCUUAAUGCCUAGAAUGUAAGCAGCUUCUCCUAGGUCCUUCAUACAGAAACUUUUAGUCAAGUAAUCCUUUAUGCUCUCUAAAAACUCUACGUUGUUUCCAAUCAGUAAUAUGUCAUCCACAUAUAAUAUUAGAAACGCCACAGAGNNNNNNNNNNGGCGUUCUGAUCUAUCCCUAUAGAUCUUAAUGCCUAGAAUGUAAGUAGCUUCUCCUAGGUCCUUCAUAGAGAAACUUUUAUUCAAGUAAUCCUUUAUGCUCUCCAAAAACUCUACGUUGUUUCCAAUCAGCAAUAUGUCAUCCACAUAUAAUAUUAGAAAUGCCACAGAGCUCCCACUCACUUUCUUGCAAAUACAAGAUUCUCCAACCACUUGUAUAAACCCAAAUGCUUUGAUCANNNNNNNNNNGAGAAACUUUUAUUCAAGUAAUCUUUUAUGCUCUCUAAAAACUCUACGUUGUUACCAAUCAGUAAUAUGUCAUCCACAUAUAAUAUUAGAAACGCCACAGAGCUCCCACUCACUUUCUUGUAAAUACAAGAUUCUCCAACCACUUGUAUAAACCCAAAUGCUUUGAUCACCUCAUCAAAGCGUUUGUUCCAACUCCGAGAUGCUUGCACCAGUCCAUAAAUGGAUCGCUGGAGCUUGCACACCUUGUUAGCAUUCUUAGGAUCGACAAAAACUUCGGGUUGUAUCAUAUACAAUUCUUCCUUAAGGAAACCGUUAAGGAACGCCGUUUUGACAUCCAUCUGCCAGAUUUCAUAAUCGAAAAAUGCAGCUAUUGCUAACAUGAUUCUGACGGACUUAAGCAUCGCUACGGGUGAGAAUGUCUCAUCGUAGUCAACUCCUUGAACUUGUGAAAAACCCUUUGCCACAAGUCGAGCUUUAUAAACGGUCACAUUUCCGUCAGCGUCCGUCUUCCUCUUAAAGAUCCAUUUGUUCUGAAUGGCCUUGCGGCCCUCAGGCAGUCUCUCCAAAGUCCACACUUUGUUCUCAUACAUGGAUCCUAUCUCGGACUUNNNNNNNNNNACCGUCAGCGUCCGUCUUCCUCUUAAAGAUCCAUUUGUUUUGAAUGGCCUUGCGGCCCUCAGGCAGUACCUCCAAAGUCCAUACUUUGUUCUCAUACAUGGAUCCUAUCUCGGAUUUCANNNNNNNNNNAAGGUUUAUAAACGGUCACAUUGCCGUCAGCGUCCGUCUUCCUCUUAAAGAUCCAUUUGUUCUGAAUAGCCUUGCGGCCCUCAGGCAGUACCUCCAAAGUCCACACUUUGUUCUCAUACAUGGAUCCUAUCUCGGACUUCAUGGCUUCCAGCCAUUUGUUGGAAUCUGGGCCCACCAUUGCUUCUUCAUAAUUCGCAGGUUCAUUGUUGUCUAACAACAUGAUUGAUAAGACGGGAUUAUCGUACCACUCUGGAGCAGCACGUGGUCUCGUCGACCAGCGUGGUUCGACAGAAACUUGAACUGGAGUUUCAUGAUCAUCAUCAUUAACUUCCUCCUCAACCGGUGUCGCAAUGACAGGGGUUUCCCCUUGCCCUGCGCCACCAUCGAGAGGGAUGAGAGGUUCGACAACCUCGUCAAAUUCUAUCUUCCUCCCACUCAAUUCUCUCGAGAGAAACUCCUUCUCGAGNNNNNNNNNNCGAUAAGACGGGAUUACCGUACCACUCUGGAGCAGCACGUGAUCUCGUCGAUCUACGUGGUUCAACAGAAACUUGAACUGGAGUUUCAUGAUCAUCAUCAUUAACUUCCUCCUCAACCGGCGUCGCAAUGACAGAGGUUUCCCCUUGCCCUGCGCCACCAUCCAGAGGGAUGAGAGGUUCGACAACCUCGUCAAGUUCUAUCUUCCUCCCACUCAAUUCUCUCGAGAGAAACUCCUUCUCGAGAAAAGCUCCGUUUUUAGCAACAAACACUUUGCCCUCGGAUUUGAGAUAGAAGGUGUACCCAACCGUCUCUUUCGGGUAACCUAUGAAGACGCACUUUUCCGCUUUGGGUUCCAGCUUUUCAGGCUGAAGCUUUUUGACAUAAGCAUCACAUCCCCAAACUUUAAGAAANNNNNNNNNNUGGGUAACCCAUGAAGAUGCACUUUUCCACUUUGGGUUCCAGCUUUUUAGGCUGAAGCUUUUUGACAUAAGCAUCACAUCCCCAAACUUUAAGAAACGACAACUUUGGCCUUUUGCCAUACCACAGUUCGUAUGGUGUCGUCUCAACGGAUUUUGAUGGUGCCCUAUUUCAAGUGAAUGCAGCUGUUUCUAAUGCAUAGCCCCAAAAUGAUAACGGCAAAUCAGUAAGAGACAUCAUAGAUUGCACCAUCUCUAAUAGAGUACGAUUACGACGUUCGGACACACCAUUACGCUGUGGUGUUCCAGGCGGUGUUAACUGUGAAACAAUUCCACAUUGUCUUAAGUGAGUUCCAAACUCGAAACUCAGAUAUUCACCCCCACGAUCAGACCGCAGGAACUUGNNNNNNNNNNACCCCAAAACGAUAACGGCAAAUCGGUAAGAGACAUCAUAGAUCGCACCAUCUCUAAUAAAGUACGAUUACAACGUUCGGACACACCAUUAUGCUGUGGUGUUCCAGGCGGUGUCAACUGUGAAACAAUUCCGCAUUGUCUUAAGUGAGCACCAAACUCGAAACUCAGAUAUUCACCCCCACGAUCAGACCGUAGGAACUUGAUCUUCUUGUUACGAUGAUUUUCAACUUCACUCUGAAAUUGCUUGAACUUUUCAAAUGUUUCAGACUUGUGCNNNNNNNNNNAUCUUCUUGUUACGAUGAAUUUCCACUUCACUCUGAAAUUGCUUGAACUUUUCAAAUGUUUCAGACUUGUGCUUCAUCAAGUAGACAUAACCAUAUCUACUUAAAUCGUCAGUGAAGGUGAGAAAAUAACGAUAUCCGCCGCGUGCCUCCACGCUCAUCGGACCACACACAUCGGUAUGUAUGAUUUCCAACAAGUCACUUGCACGCUCCAUUGUUCCUGAGAACGGAGUCUUAGUCAUCUUGCCCAUGAGGCAUGGUUCGUACGUGUCAAGUGAAUCAAAGUCAAGUGACUCCAAAAGUCCAUCAGCAUGGAGUUUCUUCNNNNNNNNNNNNNNNNNNNNCGGUGCUCACUUAAGACAAUGUGGAAUUAUUUCACAGUUAACACCGCCUGGAACACCACAGCGUAAUGGUGUGUCCGAACGUCGUAAUCGUACUCUAUUAGAGAUGGUGCGAUCUAUGAUGUCUCUUACUGAUUUGCCCUUAUCAUUUUGGGGCUAUGCAUUAGAAACAGCUGCAUUCACUUUAAAUAGGGCACCAUCAAAAUCCGUUGAGACGACACCAUACGAACUGUGNNNNNNNNNNNNNNNNNNNNNNNNNNNNNNNNNNNNNNNNNNNNNNNNNNNNNNNNNNNNNNNNNNNNNNNNNNNNNNNNNNNNNNNNNNNNNNNNNNNNUCGUGCGCGUAGGAAAAUUUUUGUUUCCCAUGCGACGUUCCCCAACAGUGGCAUCAUGAGCUAGGUUCAUGCGUAGAUGUCUUCUCGAGUAGAAGACAAAAGUUUUUGUGGGCGGUGAUGUGCGUUUUGCUGCCCUCCUUAGUCUUUUCUUGAUUCCGCGGUAUUGUUGGAUUGAAGCGGCUUGGACCGACAUUACUCGUACGCUUACGAGAGACUGGUUUCAUCGUUACGAGUAACUCCGUUGCUCAAAUAUGACUGGCAAGUGUCGGUUUCUCCAACUUUAGUUGAAUCGGAUUUGACCGAGGAGGUCCUUGGAUGAGGUUAAAUAGCAACUCAUAUAUCUCCGUUGUGGUGUUUGCGUAAGUAAGAUGCGAUCCUACUAGAUACCCAUGGUCACCACGUAAAACAUGCAACAACAAAAUUAGAGGACGUCUAACUUGUUUUUGCUGGGUAUGCUUGUGAUGUGAUAUGGGCAAUGAUGUGAUGUGAUAUAUUGGAUGUAUGAGAUGAUCAUGUUGUAAUAGAAAUAUCGACUUGCACGUCGAUGGUACGGCAACCGGCAGGAGCCAUAGGGUUGUCUUUAUACUAACGUGUGUGCUUGCAGAUGCGUUUACUAUUUUGCUAGGAUGUAGCUUUAGUAGUAAUAGCAUGAGUAGCACGACAACCCCGAUGGCAACACGUUNNNNNNNNNNUUAGAGAACGUCUAACUUGUUUUUGCAGGGUAUGCUUGUGAUGUGAUAUGGCCAAUGAUGUGAUGUGAUAUAUUGGAUGUAUGAGAUGAUCAUGUUGUAAUAGAAAUAUCGACUUGCACGUCGAUGGUACGGCAACCGGCGGGAGCCAUAGGGUUGUCUUUAUACUAAUGUGUGUGCUUGCAGAUGCGUUUACUAUUUUGCUAGGAUGUAGCCUUAGUAGUAAUAGCAUGAGUAGCACGACAACCCCGAUGGCAACACGUUGAUGGAGAUCAUGGUGUGGCGCCGGUGACAAGAAGAUCGUGCCGGUGCUUUGGUGAUGGAGAUCAAGAAGCACGUGAUGAUGGCCAUAUCAUGUCACUUAUGAAUUGCAUGUGAUGUUAAUCCUUUUAUGCACGAACGACGGUAGCAUUAUGAGGUGAUCUCUCACUAAAAUUUCAAGACGNNNNNNNNNNAUGCACCUUAUCUUUCUUAGAACGACGGUAGCAUUAUGAGGUGAUCUCUCACUAAAAUUUCAAGACGAAAUUGUGUUCUCCCCGACUGUGGAGCGUUGCGACAGUUCUUCGUUUCGAGACACCACGUGAUGAUCGGGUGUGAUAGACUCAACGUUCNNNNNNNNNNCACCGUUGCUAUAGUUCGUCGUUUCGAGACACCACGUGAUGAUCGGGUGUGAUAGACUCAACGUUCACAUACAACGGGUGCAAAACAAUUGCACACGCAGAACACUCGGGUUAAGCUUGACGAGCCUAGCAUGUGCAGACAUGGCCUCGGAACACAUGAGACCGAAAGGUCGAUCAUGAAUCAUAUAGAUGAUAUGAUUAGCAUAGGGAUGCUUACCACUGAAACUAUACUCAACUCACAUGAUGAUCGGACUUGAGCUAGUGUAAGUGGAUCAUGAACCACUCAAAUGACUAGAGAGUUGUACUUUUUGAGUGGGAGUUUAGCGUAUAAUUUGAUUAAGUUAAACUCUAAUUAUCUUGAACAUAGUCUAAGUCCACUUUGAAUAUAUUUGUGUUGUAGAUCAUGGCUCACGCGACAGUCAUCCUGAAUUUUAAUACGUUCCUAGAGAAAGCUAAGUUGAAAGAUGAUGGAAGCAACUUUGUAGAUUGGGCUCGUAAUCUUAAGCUAAUCUUACAAGCUGGGAAGAAGGAUUAUGUCCUUAAUGCUGUGUUAGGAGAUGAACCACCCGCUACGGCUGAUCAGGAUGUUAAGAACGCUUGGUUAGCACGUAAGGAGGACUACUCAAUAGUUCAAUGCGCAGUCUUGUAUGGCUUAGGACCGGAACUUCAACGUCGCUUUGAGCGUCAUGGAGCAUUUGAGAUGUUCCAGGANNNNNNNNNNNNNNNUGCAGUCUUGUAUGGCUUAGAACCGGGACUUCAACGUCGCUUUGAGCGUCAUGGAGCAUUUGAGAUGUUCCAGGAGUUGGAGUUUAUCUUUCAGAAGAACGCCCGGAUCGAGAGGUAUGAGACCUCCGAUAAAUUCUAUGCUUGCAAGAUGGAGGAAAACUCAUCUGUUAGUGAACAUGUGCUCAAAAUGUCUGGGUACUCAAACCGUCUGGCUGAGCUGGGGAUUGAACUCCCGCAAGAAGCUAUCACUGACAGAAUCNNNNNNNNNNCGCUAGGAGAUGAACCACCCGCUACGGCUGAUCAGGAUGUUAAGAACGUUUGGUUAGCACGUAAGGAGGACUACUCAGUAGUUCAAUGUGCAGUCUUGUAUGGCUUAGAACCGAGACUUCAACGUCGCUUUGAGCGUCAUGGAGCAUUAGAGAUGUUCCAGGAGUUGAAGUUUAUCUUUCAGAAGAACGCCCGGAUCGAGAGGUAUGAGACCUCUGAUAAAUUCUAUGCUUGCAAGAUGGAGGAGAACUCGUCUAUCAGUGAACAUGUGCUCAAAAUGUCUGGGUACUCAAACCGUCUAGCUGAGCUGGGGAUUGAACUCCCGCAAGAAGCUAUCACUGACAGAAUCCUUCAAUCACUGCCGCCAAGCUAUAAAGGCUUUGUGUUGAACUACAACAUGCAAGGGAUGAACAAGUCUCCCGGCGAGUUGUUUGCGAUGCUGAAAGUCGCAGAGUCUGAACUCCGUANNNNNNNNNNGGCUAUCACUGACAGAAUCCUUCAAUCACUGCCGCCAAGCUAAAAAGGCUUUGUGUUGAACUACAACAUGCAAGGGAUGAACAAGUCACCGGCGAGUUGUUUGCGAUGCUGAAAGUCGCAGAGUCUGAACUCCGUAAAGAGCAUCAAGUGUUGAUGGUGAAUAAGACCACUAGUUUCAAGAGAAACGGCAAAGGCAAGAAGGGCAAUUCGAAGAAGAGCGGCAAGCCUGUUGCCAAUCCGACAAAGAAACCCAAAGCUGGGCCUAAGCCGGAAACGGAGUGUUACUAUUGCAAGGGUAUGGGUCACUGGAAGCGCAAUUGCCCCAAGUAUCUGGCAGAUAAGAAGGCGGGCAAAGAAAAAUCAGGUAUAUUUGAUAUACAUGUUAUUGAUGUGUACUUAACCGGCUCUCGUAGUAGUNNNNNNNNNNUAAUUCAAAGAAGAGCGGCAAGCUUGUUGCCAAUCCGACGAAGAAACCCAAAGCUGGACCUAAGCCUGAAACAGAGUGUUACUAUUGCAAGGGUAUGGGUCACUGGAAGCGCAAUUACCCCAAGUAUCUGGCAGAUAAGAAGGCGGCCAAAGAAAAAUCAGGUAUUUUUGAUAUACAUGUUAUUGAUGUGUACUUAACCGGCUCUCGUAGUAGUGCCUGGGUAUUCGAUACCGGUUCUGUUGCUCAUAUUUGCAACUCGAAACAGGAACUGCGGAAUAGGCGAAGGCUGGCGAAAGAUGAAGUGACGAUGCGCGUACGAAAUGGUUCCAAGGUUGAUGCAAUCGCCGUCGGCACAGUGUCACUUCAGUUACCGUCAGGAUUAGUGAUGAACUUAAAUCAUUGUUAUUUAGUGCCUGCGUUGAGCAUGAACAUUAUAUCUGGAUCUUGUUUAUUGCGAGACGGNNNNNNNNNNACGAAGGUUGGCGAAAGAUGAAGUGACGAUACGCGUAGGAAAUGGUUCCAAGGUUGAUGCAAUCGCCGUCGGCACAGUUUCACUUCAGUUACCAUCAAGAUUAGUUAUGAACUUGAAUCAUUGUUAUUUAGUGCGUGCGUUGAGCAUGAACAUUAUAUCUGGAUCUUGUUUAUUGCGAGACGGUUACUCUUUUAAGUCAGAGAAUAAUGGUUGUUCUAUUUCUAUGAGUAACAUCUUUUAUGGUCAUGCACCUAAUGUGAGAGGAUUGUUCAUAUUGAAUCUUGAUAGCGNNNNNNNNNNNNNNNNNNNNNNNNNNNNNNNNNNNNNNNNNNNNNNNNNNNNNNNNNNNNNNNNNNNNNNNNNNNNNNNNNNNNNNNNNNNNNNNNNNNNACACGUACAGCUCGACGAUGAUCGGCCUUCUUGAUCCAGCAAGAGAGACGGAGAGGUAGAAGAGUUCUUUGGCAGCGUGACGGCGCUCCGAAGGUUGGUGAUGACCUUGUCUCAGCAGGGCUCCGCCCGAGCUCCGCAAAAACGCGAUCUAGAGGAAAAACCGUGGAGGUAUGUGGUCGGGCUGCCGUGGGAAAAUCGUCUCAAAUCAGCCCUAAAACCUCCGUAUAUAUAGGUGGGAGGGAGGGGACCUUGCCUUGGGGCUCAAGGAGCCCCAAGGGGGUCGGCCGAGUCCAAGGGGGGAGGACUCCCCCCCCCAAACCGAGUUGGACUUGGUUUGGUGGGAGGGAGUCCCCCUUCCUUCCCACCUCCUCCUUUUUUUUUCUUUUCUCUUGAUUUUCUCUUCUUGGCGCAUAGAGCCCUUUUUGGGCUGUUCCACCAGCCCACUAAGGGCUGGUGUGCCACCCUCAAGGCCUAUGGGCUNNNNNNNNNNCUUUUCUCUCUUGAUUCUCUCUCCUUGGCGCAUAGAGCCCUUUUGGGCUGUCCCACCAGCCCACUAAGGGCUGGUGUGCCACCCUCAAGGCCUAUGGGCUUCCCCGGGGUGGGUUGCCCCCCCGGUGAACUCCCGGAACCCAUUCGUCAUUCCCGGUACAUUCCCGGUAACUCCGAAAACCUUCCGGUAAUCAAAUGAGGUCAUCCUAUAUAUCAAUCUUCGUUUCCGGACUAUUUCGGAAACCCUCGUGACGUCCGUGAUCUCAUCCAGGACUCCGAACAACAUUCGGUAUGUUACUUGCCCGAGAUUCGAUCGUCAGUAUCCGUAUACCUAUUUCAAUCUCGUUUACCGGUAAGUCUCUUUACUCAUUCCGUAAUACAAGAUCCCGCAACUUACACUAAGUUACAUUGCUUGCAAGGCUUGUGUGUGAUGUUGUAUUACCGAGUGGGCUCNNNNNNNNNNUCGAGAACUAUGUAGACAUGACCCGAGAGACUCCUCGGUCAAUAUCCAAUAGCGGGACCUGGAUGCCCAUAUUGGAUCCUACAUAUUCUACGAAGAUCUUAUCGUUUGAACCUCAGUGCCAAGGAUUCAUAUAAUCCCGUAUGUCAUUCCCUUUGUCCUUCGGUAUGUUACUUGCCCGAUAUUCGAUCGUCAGUAUCCGCAUACCUAUUUCAAUCUCGUUUACCGGCAAGUCUCUUUACUCGUUCCGUAAUACAAGAUCCCGCAACUUACACUAAGUCACAUUGCUUGCAAGGCUUGUGUGUGAUGUGUAUUAUCGAGUGGGCCCCGAGAUACCUCUCCGUCAUACGGAGUGACAAAUCCCAGUCUCGAUCCAUACUAACUCAACGAACACCUUCGGAUAUACCUGUAGAGCAUCUUUAUAGUCACCCAGUUACGUUGCGACGUUUGAUACACACAAAGCAUUCCUCCGGUGUCAGUGAGUUAUAUGAUCUCAUGGUCAUAGGAAUAAAUACUUGACACGCAGAAAACAGUAGCAACAAAAUGACACGAUCAACAUGCUACGUCUAUUAGUUUGGGUCUAGUCCAUCACAUGAUUCUCCUAAUGAUGUGAUCCCGUUAUCAAGUGACAACACUUGCCUAUGGCCAGGAAACCUUGACCAUCUUUGAUCAACGAGCUAGUGAACUAGAGGCUUACUAGGGACAGUGUUUUGUCUAUGUAUCCACACAAGUAUUGUGUUUCCAAUCAAUACAAUUAUAGCAUGGAUAAUAAACGAUUAUCAUGAACUAAGAAAUAUAAUAAUAACUAAUUUAUUAUUGCCUCUANNNNNNNNNNNNNNNNNNNNNNNNNNNNNNNNNNNNNNNNNNNNNNNNNNNNNNNNNNNNNNNNNNNNNNNNNNNNNNNNNNNNNNNNNNNNNNNNNNNNACGUCACAACGUAACUGGGUGACUAUAAAGGUGCACUACGGGUACCUCUGAAAGUAUCUGUUGGGUUGGUACGAAUCGAGAUCGGGAUUUGUCACUCCGUGUGANNNNNNNNNNNNNNNNNNNNNNNNNNNNNNNNNNNNNNNNNNNNNNNNNNNNNNNNNNNNNNNNNNNNNNNNNNNNNNNNNNNNNNNNNNNNNNNNNNNNNNNNNNNNNNNNNNNNNNNNNNNNNNNNNNNNNNNNNNNNNNNNNNNNNNNNNNNNNNNNNNNNNNNNNNNNNNNNNNNNNNNNNNNNNNNNNNNNNNNNNNNGACAGACAAAGGGAGUCGUGUACGGGAUUGAUUGAAUCCUUGACAUCGUGGUUCAUCCGAUGAGAUCAUCGUGGAGCAAGUGGGAGGCACCAUGGGUAUCCAGACCCCGCUGAUGGUUAUUGGCCAGAGAGGUGUCUCGGUCAUGUCUGCCUUCUCCCGAACCCGUAGGGUCUACACACUUAAGGUUCGAUGACGCUAGGGUUAUAGGGAAUUGUUAUACGAGGUUACCGAAAGUUAUUUGGAGUCCCGGAUGAGAUCCCGGACGUCACGAGGAGCUCCGGAAUGGUCCGGAGGUAAAGAUUGAUAUAUAGGACGGAUGGNNNNNNNNNNGUCUCCCGAACCCUUAGGGUCUACACACUUAAGGUUCGAUGACGCUAGGGUUAUAGGGAAUUGUUAUACGAGGUUACCGAAAGUUGUUCGGAGUCCCGGAUGAGAUCCCGGACGUCACGAAGAGCUCCAGAAUGGUCCGGAGGUAAAUAUUGAUAUAUAGGACACAUGGUUUCGGAUACCGGAAGUGUUUCGGGCAUCACCGGUAACGUACCGGGACCACCGGAGGUGGCCCCGGGGGACCACCGAAGGGGGGCAACAACCCCAGGAGAUAAGGUGGGCCAAGUGGGGGUGGGAACCAGCCCCUAGGUGGGCUGGUGCGCCUCCCCACNNNNNNNNNNGACCAGCGGAGGUGGCCCCGGGGGACCAUCGAAGGGGGGCAACGACCCCGGGAGAUAAGGUGGGCUAAGUGGGGGUGGGAACCAGCCCCUAGGUGGGCUGGUGCGCCUCCCCACUCAGCCCAUAGCGCAAGGGAGAGAAAAGGGGGGGCAAACCCUAGGCUAGGUGGGCCUAAGGCCCACCAGAUGGUGCGCCACCCCCUCCUCCCCCUUCUGGCCGCCGCACCUCCCAUCUGGAGNNNNNNNNNNNNNNNNNNNNNNNNNNNNNNNNNNNNNNNNNNNNNNNNNNNNNNNNNNNNNNNNNNNNNNNNNNNNNNNNCUAGGGGUGGCACUCCCUCUCCCCUCCCCCUAUAUAUAUCGGGCACUUUUGGCCAUUGAGACACACGGUAUUUCCCUCUCUCUCGGCGCAGCCCUGCUCUUCUUCCUCCUCCUCUGUGCCGGUGCUUGGCGAAGCCUUGCCGGGAGACCUCGUCUCUCCAUCGACACCACGCCGUCGUGUUGCUGGAGUUCUUCCCCAANNNNNNNNNNNNNNNNNNNNNNNNNNNNNNNNNNNNNNNNNNNNNNNNNNNNNNNNNNNNNNNNNNNNNNNNNNNNNNNNNNNNNNNNNNNNNNNNNNNNAACGCGAAUGGCCAAGGCGGUGGUGGUGGCGCUGGGGGGAGCGAUGGCAAUGGCAGCGGCUCCGGCUCCGGCGAUGGAAGCGGGUCAGGGAUAGGUGAGAACUAUGCACCGUAUGGUUCGAGCUACGCGAGCAGCGGAGGGGGCGGGGGUGGCGACGGCGGCGGCCGCAANNN